CCUUGGGAGGUUUACCAAUUGGGGUUGGUGGCUUGUGUUCUGGGAGUGGUUUCUCUCCCUUGGGAGGUUUAGUGGGUGACUUGUGUUCUGGAGGUGGCUUCUCCACCGAAGGCUUGUGCUCCGGUGGUGGCUUUUUGGUUGGAGGGGGCUUGGGGUAAUCAGCAAGAGAUGGGGUGGUGAGAACCACCAGUCCAAGGAACAACACUAGCAAGUAUGUGGGAGACAUUUUUGAGUUUGGGCUGAUCAGAUGAUGCAAAACUAAAGCAUUACGUGACCUUUUAUAGCAAGUAGCUCCCAAUACCUACUUGACACGUGUUACUGUGACCCAUAAAUAUUAUGGGGUCUAUUUGUGCCCUACCGGGUUGAAAACUUGGACAAUUGGGCAAGGACCCGCCUGACUAUGGAGGACUACUGAGGUGUGAUCACAGCUUUAGGAUUUUUCUUCCUCUGCAGCCGUCUUGCCGUUGGCAUGAUUUUCUUAAUCUCAAAUAAAGGCAUAGUUAUAGAGUUGUUUAAUCUCUAAAUGGGAUUUUAUAUAUCUUCAGAUAGCCAUUAAUACAUUUGAUGAAGAAAGAAAGACAAGUGCAUACAACAUGUAUACGACUAGCUUUCAUGGAGUUCAUUUAUGAUCAGUUUUCCUGUACAUGUAAACCAAGAUCAUAUAUGUUUUUGUUCCACAACAAUUUUGGAAUCUUGUUUAUCCGUUUUUAUCAUUAUAAUGUCACAUAGGCUGCCAACUUGGGCGCUAAAUUAAAGAUCCAGUUGGGCAAGUUCGUUUCAGAAUUUCAAUGGUGGAUUCAGGAAUUGUUUUAUAAGAUAUGCAAAAUAGUAGAGGGAUGAAUAGUGUUUCAUUAAGAAAAGAGCCCUGUAAAAAUAUUGUUUAAAGGUGCCAUAGAAACUAUAAUCAAUAAAUAACUUUUUUUCCCCAUGGGUGGUGUUUCUUGUGGGGAUCAGUGACUGGUUUGAGUCAACGCCGUGUCUCUUUAGUCCAGAAAUCAACUAUUUUAUGCAUUGAAUACAUCAACAAAGAAAAUAUGAAAGCCAAAUGACACCUCCCCCGCAAAAACUAAACCCUGGUUGCUAACUUUCUAUGUUUCAGUUCCAUUCACACAAGAAUAUUAGUUCAAGUUUGAGAAAAAUGGCGACUUACCUAGUGAUAACUCGGUCUUGGUUUGCGAUUUGACUUUAACGUCAUGGGUUGAAGCCUCCUACAAUCAUCGUGUAUGCUAGUUCAAAGCUCGUGGAAGAAGUUAUACAGGGAGGGAGAAACCUCCACAGCAAGCUCCAAAAGAGAAUUAUCACAUUGAAAGCUCCAGUUGAACACUGGGUGAAAGCCAUAACAAGAUUGGUUUUCUAUCGCUCUUUUAAGUAAUGGAAGAUUAUUAUCUCUGCUUGUCACUACAACCGUGCAUGCUGCUAGAUCUUUCUAGACACUUCAAACAGUGAAACCAAGUAUGAUUCUUUUUCUCUUGAGUGGGUCCACUUGCAUGCCAAUGAACGAGUUGAAAAGUUGGACAAUUGGCCACAGCGCGCACUUACCUUCUGGAACCGAAGGUCAGUGAAGUGGGGUUCCUUUUGGCCCCUUGUGUUUCUGUUCCAACCUACUCCAGGAACCGAAGUUCAGUGAAGUGGGGCUACUUUUGGCCUCUUGUGUUUCUGUUCCAACCAAACAAAAAUGGGAGGGAAAAAUAGCAUUAUGCUUGUGCUAAAGAUCAACGCAUGAUAGCUGAAUAAGGGAGAAAAAGGCAUUGCUAUCUCAAUUUCAUAAACUUGAUAAGUAGUGACAUUAAUAGUCUUCCUCAUAGAUGGAUACAUGGUUUUAUUUUAUUUAUUUAUUUUUAUUUUUUUGUUUUAUGUCAAUGCUAAUGAAUGAAGUGCAUUAGCUUGUUUUGUGACUAGAACUACAAAUGUCCAAAUUGGAGCUUCUCCAAUAUAUUUCUCAGUGAGUUAUUGAUUAGAACUCUUGGAUUGAGUUCCAAGAUUUGAAUCAGACCCCUCUAGCAGCUUCAGGGGUACGUAGCAACCUAUAGCAUAUUAAUGAAGACUUAGGAUUUAGACUUAGGAAUACAAAUUAAUAUGUACCUCAUGCUCUGACUAGCUUCCCUGCGUAUGCACAAAAUGGAGAUGACUCCCAAAAAAAUAGCAGAAUCGCCUUAGUAUGUUUUUGUGGUUAAGAUGAUUCUCCACUUUAUAUAUCCACAUUGGUUCAUUAUGCAAAUUAAUCAACUAAGCUAUUUUUAUUUUUUCUUAAAUGUGAAAUAGGAGCUCCAAAUUAACCUAACCAUUGGCCUGAUUGAAUUGAUUUCACUUGCAUAAUGUUAUAGUAGAAGUCCGUAAUUUGAAUUUUAUUUUUGCAAAAGGUAACGUAAAUGAAGCAUUGUAAUUAAAUUUAUUUGUAAUUACAAACUAAUUUUAUUUUAUUAAGAAUUAAUUUAAUUACUCAUUUAAAAUAAAAAUCAGUUAUACUUUUACCAAGAUGAUAAUAUUCAUAUUUUUCUAGUUAACAUAUAUAAAAUAGUACACUUUUUCAUAUAAAAAAAUAAUUUAUGAUUUAUUAUAAUGUUACUAUUCACAUUUUACUAAAUUGAUGGUACAUGAUAGUGAGAGAAGGGGGUGUCACACUCAGCUAAAGUUCUUUUCAAAAUAUUGCAUGGUGUUUAAUUUUAUGUGUCGGCGCGCGUGUGAAUGGAACCUGCAAAAGUCCAAAUUGGCGUUUCUCCAUUUUCCACAUAGGAUGGUGACGUUAAUAGACAAAGAUACAAUAUCUGUAGACAUUGCUUAAAAAUCGAUGUGAAGUAUUAGAAAUUACAGGGCACUGUACUGGGGGAGCGGCUGCCCCGCCAAAGGAGGAAGAAUGUAGCAAUUUCUUCUGUUAGCCAGGCCUUAGGAUUUAUGCAUGGGAUGCCUAAUAACAAACAGAGAAAAUAUACUUUUGGGGAAGGUAUCCAACAACAGACACCAUCAUUCAGAUGGUGGGAAGGUAUCCAACAGAUGCCAUCAUUCAGAUGGUAACAUAUAUAUACAUUUAUUAGUGAGUUUUUUUAAUACCUAUAAAAAAAAAUAUACACUUUGAUAUUGUGGCUGAAUCCAUUACAUACUCAACUAACCUUGCUCAUUAGGGAUUUGACUUAACAAGGGCAACGUUGCAGUACAAGCUCAAAACUUUAUGCAGGUGACAUUACAUUUGGUAAAGAAGAGGAAAAUAACGAAAGCCAUCCAUAAAAGCAAAAUUCCACAUGGGAUGAAAUUCACAAGCUUCAUUUACGAUAGAGUCGCAUCCAGGCAAUUAAUUCCACAUUAGACCGCCUGUUGACAUGUGUACCAAUCUUUUUUCAAAAAAUAUUUAUAAAUAAUUGAUACUCACAAAAAUAAUUUAAUAUUUAUAAAGGAUAAAAAAAUAUUUUCAAAUCUAUAACAAUUUAUAAAAUAUUAAUAAAAAAUUAUCUCUUAAACUUAGUAUAGUUUUAUCAGAUUAAACUUUUAUUUUGAACAAAUAAUUUUAAUCUAAGUUUUAAAUUCUAAAAUUAUUUCCUUAAAAUAAAAUUUUAAAAUUCAACACUUCAAUUGAAAUUGUCUUUUUAAAAAAUAUCUUCUUAUUUUAAUCCUUAUAAACUAUAGUUGAUUGAAAAUACUAUUGAAGUUCUCUCUUAAAAAAAAGUCUUAUUUUAAUCUUCAUAAAUUGCCCUUGAUUUGAAAAUAAAUUUUCAGUUAUCAUAUUUUAAAUAAUAUCUAUAUUUAAAAUACUCUAUUUAAAAAAAAAUGAACUAAUUUUAAUUAUAUUAUAUUUUAUUUUUUUAUAUAUUUUUAAUGAUAAACCAAACAUAGAAAAUCAUUUUUCUAAAUAUUUUAAAAUUUCUAAGCAACCAAACAUAAUCUUCAAAAUAAAAGGAAAAUAAGGAGGGACAUUUGAGAAAUGGCGAUUAAAAAAAAGUGUACAAAAGCUCAAUUAAUUUUCUUCUAGUCUUUUAUAUAAAAAAGUAAAGGAAUUGAAAAGUAUUGAUAUGUAAAUUAAUAUUUGGAUUUUAAUAGUAUUUUAUUUGUCUUUCUCUAUCUCAUGUAAAAGAGAAUUUAAGAUAUUUCCUAAAGCAAAGCAUUAGUUAUCUGCAAUCAGUGGUGAUCAUGCCCCAUGUCAAUUUCGGACCCAUAUCUUAAAACUGUAUAAUUUGCAUUCAAACAUUACUGAUUUCUCAGAUGUUUCAUACUCCACAGAAGAGCAUUGUUUGUGAAAGCAUGCAUUUAUGUUGGAUUUUGGAUGAUGUGGGAACUGGGGCAAGGAUCAUAUGGAAGAGUGGUCGAUUUUGUUCUGUACUUUAACAUUUGAAAUAGGAGAAGCUCGGGCAUUUGUGGGGCUUAAUUGAUUUUGAAGCCUGAAAUUGCGUUUCUGUCAUUUUGUAAAAAAUAUGGCAGAUUCCAUGCUCUCAUAUGUUUGGUCUGUGGCCAUGUAUAGAUGCCCCUUAGUGACCAGUUUGUAACUGUCAAUCAUAGUGUUUUGACUCUGGCUCAACAACAUCAGCCAUUGACGGAUUUUCAUACUUGCAAAUCAAAUAGUCUUCUUCCUCCCUUAGGAAUUUCGGUUUAAAUGUUAUUAAGCAUACAUUUGGCUGACAAUUAUUAACCACUUCAUGAUAUGGUUUCUUACCCUUAAUCAAUGGUUUCUAAGUGAAUAUAUGCAGAAGGAAAUCUGAACUGUAGACAGCAGUAUUGAUAACUCUCAAUAUUCUUUAUAUAAGAGAAUAAACAACGUCAUAGUGAUCGUCGCCUACAAGAAAGGUACAUUUCCCAACAAGAUGUAGUUGUGACUGGUACAUGGACGCAAUUAACUCGUACAAAAGAAUAAGACCAGUGCACGGCAGCUCUUAUUUUACAUGCUAAUUAUGCUAACCAAAGUCACUCAGUUGGGAUGGGAGGGAGAUGGAGGUUUGUGCGGUGGCUUGUGGGGCGGAGUUGGUGGCUUCUUUUCAGGAGCUUGUGGCUUUUUCGGAGCUGAAGGAGGCUCAAUCUUAUGAGGCGGCUUGUACGAGUCUUCUUUACUCUCGACAGGAGGGUGGCCAGGGUUGUGACCAUAAUGUGGUGGCUUCUCUCCCUUAGGUGGCUUGCCAACUGGGGUUGGUGGCUUGUGUUCAGGAAGUGGUUUCUCUCCCUUGGGAGGUUUACCAAUUGGGGUUGGUGGCUUGUGUUCUGGGAGUGGUUUCUCUCCCUUGGGAGGUUUAGUGGGUGACUUGUGUUCUGGAGGUGGCUUCUCCACCGGAGGCUUGUGCUCCGGUGGUGGCUUCUCCACCGGAGGCUUGUGCUCCGGUGGUGGCUUCUUGAUUGGAGGGGGCUUGGGGUAAUCAGCAAGAGAUGGGAUGGUGAGAACCACCACUCCAAGGAACAACACUAGCAAGUAUGUGGGAGACAUUUCUGAGUUUGAGCUGAUCAGAUGAUGCAAAACUAGAAGAAUUACGGGACCUUUUAUAGCAAGUAUCUCCCAAUACCCACAUGACACGUGUUACUAUGACCAUAAAUAUUAUAGGGUCCAUUUGUGCCCUACCGGGUUGAAAACUUGGACGCUUGGCCGAGGACACACCUGACUAUGGAGGACUAUUGACGUGUGAUCACAGCUUUUGGAUUUUUCUUCCUGUGCAGCUGUCUAGCGGUUGGCAUUAUUUUCUUAAUCUUAAAUAAAGGCAUAGUUAUAGAGUUGUUUAAUCUCUAAAUGGGAUUUUAUAUAUCUUCAGAUAGCCAUUAAUAUAUUUGAUGAAGAAAGACAAGUGCAUACAACAUGUAUACGGCUUGCUUCAAUCGAGUACAUUUAUGAUCAGUUUUCCUGUGCAAGUAAACCAGUUUUUUGUUCCACAACUAUUUUGGAAUCUUGUUUAUCAGUUUCUAUCAUUAUAAUGUCACAUAGGCUGCAAACUUGGGCACCCAAAGAUCUAGGUGGGCAAAUUUGUUUCAGACUUUCAAUGGUGGAUUCAGUAAUUGUUAAAAGGUGUUUCUUCAUUAAGGAAAGAGUCCGGUAAAAAUAUUGUUAAAAGGUGUCAUAGAAACUAUAAUAAAUAAAUAACUUCUUUUCCCCAUGGGUGGUGUUUCUUCUGGGGAUCAGUGACUGGUUAGGGUCACCCAAAAUGAGUCCAGAUUAAAAUUGGUUCGAGUCAAAGCAGUCUCUUUUGUCCAGAAAUCAACUAUUUUGCGCAUUGAAUGAAUCGAUAAAGAAAAAAUGAAAGCCAAAUCACACCUCCCCUGCAAAACCUAAACCCCGGUUGCUAACUUUCUAUGUUUCAGUCCUAUUCAUAUAGGAAUAUUGGUUCAAGUUUGAGAAAAAUGGCAACUUACCUAGGGUUUACUUGGUUUUGGUUUGCGACUAUUUACGCAACCAACCAUGAGUUUGACUUUAACGUCAUGGGUUGAAGCCUCCUACAAUCAUGUAUGAUAGUUCAAAGCUCGUGGAAGAAAUUAUACAGGAAGGAAGAAACCUCCAAAGCUAGCUCCAAAAGAGAAUUAUCACAUCGAUAGCUCCAGAGAUUCCCAAGGGAACUGAAUCAAAGACAAGUUCCUCACUUUUUCUUCUUUUGAGGCCAAAUAUGAACCAAGGAUCACACGACCUCAUUCAACUUCAUAAGUUUGAUUUCAUGCAGUUGAACACUGGGUGAAGGCCAUGACAAGAAUUGAUUAAAAAAUUCUACCACUCUUUUAAGUAAUGGAAGAUUAUUAUCUCUGAUUGGCACCACAACAGCACAUGCUGCUAGAUCUUUCUAGACACUCCAUGCAAUGAAAGCACAAUGGAUCUUGUAAUGAUAGAAACUAAGCCAUGCUACAGUACUAGAUGAGGGGGUAAAACUAGUAGACAUCUUUCUAGACACUCCAUGCAAUGAAAGCACAAUGGAUCUUGUAAUGAUAGAAACUAAGCCAUGCUACAGUACUAGAUGAGGUGGUAAAACUAGUAGACAUGGCUGGCAGUUGAUUACUACUCAAAAAGUACUCUUUUAUAGCUUGAAACUAACUGUUUUAAACACUUUUGAGUAGUAGUUAAUACCUUUUAACUUAAUUGGCACAUUAAGGAACCUAGCAAGGGUUACUAAUCAACAUUUGGCAAGUUUUGAUGUUUUUGGUAGCUAUUUGAUCAUUGAAACAAGCCAAGAAUGAGGGGGAAUUUUGUGAAGUCCAUGGCAAUGCAAGUUAAAGCUCAAAUACAUGAAGAAUCCAAGCUUUGGAGCACUUCAUAGCCCUUUGCCAAGCCAAUCAAAGAUGCAAGGAAGAAAACCAAAGGAAGAAAUCCAACAAUCAGCAUUUUGGCAUGGCUAUGUGAAAUUUCGCACACCAUGCGAAACCACAAGAGGCAGCCAAAGAAUUUCGCAUGGUAUGCGAAAUCUUCUUGUGCACUGACUCUGUUAGAUUUUUAUCUUCAGAUAUUUUGUGUAAUUUCCUAGUUUCUCCUUGUAACCAACUUAGAUAUUUUCUUUUAUAUCUUUUUUUAUAUUUUUUAGGUAACAUCAUAUAUAAGAGGAGAGACAUAAGGAGGAUAUGGAUGUUUUUCAUAGAACACUUGUAAAUUUUUGGUAGUAAGAAAUAUACAAAGCUUUUUGCUCUGCCUUACCUUCUCAAGGGAUGAGUGGCUAGGUUUUCUUGGAGUGAGGGAAGCUAGGUGAAGGACCUGAAUGCAAAGGUGGGAGUUUUCCUUACUUUAAAUGAAAGUAGUUGUUAAACAUUAAUGGUUUUUAUUUUAAGGUUUAGCUUUAAAUCCCUGAAAAACACCUUGAAUGGCCAAUACUUGGUAAGCUUUUUAGAUUCUAUGGAUGCUUAUUGCUAGAUCCAUGGAUGUCUAUUAGUUAUCAUUUACGAGCCAUUGGAAGGUGAUUCAAGGUGAGGGUCUUUAGUGUUUGAAGCCAUUAAUGGGAAGCAAUUACCAUUUUUUCAUGAAUCCUUUGGAUCAAAUCUUAAUUGCUAAAUAUAAAACCGGUUUCGAGAGAUAACCACCAUCCUUUAUGUUAUUAUCCCCAACGCGAGGAGAAGAUCCGAAAUCUUCCUUUUUAUCUAAGGAACCCGAUCCUAGUGACCUAAAGCUCCAAGAUACCUUUUCUUUGUAGUUAACUUCAUUUAUUGUUUUUGCUUAACUUAAAAUCAAUCUUUGCAACCACAAUUCCAUUUUCUUUAAAAGCUAAUUUUUAUAAGGAAAAACACCAUUUUAUUUCCUUCACUAAGUCAACUGUACGAUGAAAACCCAUCCCUGUGGACGAUCCUAGAGCCACUAUACUAUGUUAGCUAUGCUACCCUAGUGUGAGGUGAUUUAGGUUUUAUAAAUUUUUUUGAUAACACCCAUCUGAGCCAGAAUCAAAUGGCACGACUGAACCAGGGACGAAUCAAAUGACGCCGCUACCAAGGAUGGUGCCAAAGUACAUUGACAUGACUUUUGGUGAACACUUGUGAUCUUCACCACAAGUUUGGUGAUUUUUCUUUUACUAAUUUUUUUUAUUUUAGCUUAUCUUUUAUUUAGUUUUUAGUUAACCUUAAAUUUUUCCUAGAAUUGUAUUUCUUUUGUUUUCUUUGUUUUUGUUUCAGUGAUCUUUAGUUGUGCAUGCCCUAUUGGAUAAGAGAUAUUGAGGGAAUACUUGUGAAGAUUGAAACUCCUCGAGAAACUGAGUUAGAAGUGUGCUUGAACAUCAUGGAUGUUCCACCUGAAGACCAGAAUAGCCAACAUGGUUAAGAGGAUAAUUUCAACACAUACCGAUCCAUGAGGAACCGCAUACAUCCACCUUGUAUGAGUGCACCGUCAGGCAUAAUGCCUCCCACUGAGCAGCUAGUAAUCUGACCUCACAUUGUGCCACUCCUACCUACUUUCCAUGGGAUGGAGAGUGAGAAUCCCUACUCGCAUAUUAAGGAAUUCGAGGAGGUUUGUAAUACAUUCCAAGAAGGAGGAGCUUCAAUUGACUUGAUGAGGCUCAAGCUAUUUCCUUUCACUUUGAAGGAUAAGGCCAAGAUUUGGCUUAAUUCUUUAAGGCCAAGAAGUAUCCAAACUUGGAUUGAUUUGUAAGCCGAGUUUCUUAAGAAGUUCUUCCCUACCCAUAGGACCAAUGGUUUGAAAAGGCAAAAUUUGAACUUCUCAGUUAAAGAGAAUGAGAAAUUCUAUGAGUGUUGGGAGAGCUACAUGGAAGCUAUUAACGUUUGUCCUCACCAUGGCUUUGACACAUGGCUCUUAGUGAGCUAUUUUUACAAUGGUAUGUCUUCUUCAAUGAAGCAACUCCUAGAAACUAUGUGUGGAGGAGACUUCAUGAGUAAGAAUCCGGAGGAAGCCAUGGACUUUUUGAGUUAUGUGGCUGAAGUUUCAAGAGGAUGGGAUGAACCAAAUGCUAGAGAGGUGGGAAGAAUGAAGUCUCAACCUAAUGCUAAGGGUGAGAUGUAUGUUUUGAAUGAAGACAUUGACAUGAAAGCAAAGGUUGCAGCUAUGGCAAGGAGAUUGGAAGAGCUAGAAAUGAAGAACAUACAAAAAGUGCAAGCCAUUUCUGAGACAUCAAUGAAAGCUAUGCCUUGUUCCAUUUGUCAAUCUUAUAAGCACCUAGUGGAGGAGUGUCCUACAAUUCCAGCAGUGAGAGAGAUGUUUGGUGAUCAAGCAAAUGUUAUUGAUCAAUUCAAGCCUAAUAACAAUGCUUCAUAUGGCAACACCUACAAUUCAAAUUGGAGGAACCAUUCAAAUUUCUCUUGGAAACGAAAGCCACCUCAAUACACACAACCUACUCAAGCACCUUAGCAAUCCUCGAAUCUUGAACAAGCUAUUGUGAACCUUAGCAAGGUUGUGGGAGACUUUGUGGGAGAUCAGAAGUCCAUCAAUGCUCAACUGAAUCGGAGAAUUGACAGUGUGGAGAGUACAUUGAACAAAAGGAUGGAUGAGAUGUAAAAUGAUCUGUCUCAAAAGAUAGACAAUGUCCAAUACGUAAUCUCAAGGCUUACCAACCUCAACACAGUGUAAGAGAAAGGAAAGUUUCCUUCUCAACCUCAUCAAAAUCCUAAGGGUAUCCAUGAAGUAGAGGCUCAAGAGGGAGAAUCUUCAAAGGUGAGGGAAGUCAAAGUAGUUAUCACCUUGAAGAGUGGUAAAGAGGUUGAUCAACCCACAUCCAAGCCAAAGCAUAAUGAAGAGAGUGUAGCAGAAAAAGAAAAGAGAGGAAAAUAAAGGAAUUAGAAUAGAGAAAAAUACAAAGAAAGAUGACCAUGAGUCUAGUGUGGAUGAAGAGCCCGAGAGGAUGGUGAUCAAGGAAGAUAUGAUGAAGAAACACAUGCCUCCACCUUUCCCCUAAGCUUUGCAUGACAAAAAAAGAACCAAUAAUACAUCAGAAAAUUUUGAAGUAUUGAGGCAAGUGAAGGUCAAUAUCCCUUUGCUAGACAUGAUCAAACAAGUGUCGACAUAUGAAAAAUUCUUGAAGGACUUGUGCACUGUAAAGAGAGGGUUGAAUGUGAACAAGAAAGCUUUAUUGACCGAGCAAGUGAGUUCCAUCAUACAGUGCAAGUCCUAGUGAAGUACAAAGAUCCGGGUUGCCGUACCAUCUCAGUGAGUAUUGGAAGGACUUGUGUGGAGAAAGCUUUGUUGGACUUGGGAGCAAGUGUGAAUUUGCUAUCCUACUCUGUCUAUAAGCAGUUGGGAUUUGGAGAGUUGAAGCCAAUAUCCAUCACUCUAUCUCUAGCGGAUAGAUCAAUGAAGAUUCCAAGAGGGAUGAUCGAAGAUGUCCUGGUUCAAGUUAACAAAUUCUACUAUCCAGUAGAUUUUGUUGUUCUUGAUAUGGAUCCGGUUGUCAAAUGAACUAAUUAUGUUCCUAUCAUACUUGGAAGACCCUUCCUAGCUACAUCAAAUGCAAUCAUCAAUUGUAGGAAUGGAGUCAUGCAACUCACAUUUGUCAACAUGACAUUAGAGCUCAACAUCUUCCAUUUGUACAAGAAGCAUAUCCAUCAGGAGGAAAAAGAAGGUCUAGAGGAAGUGUGAAUGAUUGACACUUUAGUGGAAGAGCAUUGUGAUCGAGAAUGCAAAAAGAUUUAGUUGAGAAUUUUGGGGAUCUUGAUGAAAGGUUACUUGAACCCUCAGAUUUGCUUGCUACCCUACUCCAUUGGAAGAGAAGAGAAGAAAUUCUACCCUUAUUCAAUGAGGAGGAGACGCAAAGAGCUGCAAAGGAGAAACCCCCAAAACUUAUUCUUAAGCCACUACCCACAGAGUUGAAGUAUGUAUACUUGGAAGAAGACAAGAAGUGCCCUAUUGUUAUAUCUUCAACUCUUACCAUUCAUCAGGAGGAUUGUCUACUUGAAGUCCUUAGAAGAUGUAAGAAGACAAUAAGGUGGCUAAUUUCUUAUUUGAAAGGGAUCAGCCCUUUAGUCUGCACCCAUCAUAUUUACAUGGAGGAUGAAGCUAAGCUAAUUCAUCAACCUCAGAGAAGGUUGAACCCUCACAUGCAAGAGGUGGUUCGAGCUGAAGUUCUGAAGCUACUUCAGACCAGUAUUAUUUACCCCAUAUCAAAUAGCCCAUGGGUGAGUCCUACUCAAGUUGCGCCAAAGAAGUCUGGGAUCAUGGUGGUGCAAAAUGAUAAGGGAGAAGAUGUCUCUACACGCCUCACUACAGGUUGGAGGGUGUGUAUCAAUUACAGGAGGUUGAAUGCAGUGAUAAGAAAGGACCAUUUCUCAUUGCCCUUUAUUGAUCAGGUGCUUGAGAGGGUCUCUGGGCUUUUUUUUUUAUUGUUUCUUGGAUGGCUACUCCGGGUACUUUCAGAUAGAAAUUGAUGUUGAAAACCAAGAUAAGACCAUUUUCACAUGCCCAUUUGGAACCUAUGCAUAAAGGAGAAUGCCUUUCGGCUUAUGCAAUGCACCCGCAACUUUCCAAAGAUGCAUGUUAAGCAUUUUCAGUGAUAUGGUGGAGCGUAUUAUGGAAGUCUUUAUGGAUGAUAUCACCAUUUAUGGAAGUGCAUUUGAUGAAUGCUUGGUCAACUUAGAAGCUGUUCUGAACCGAUACAUUGAGAAAGACUUAGUGCUUAACUGGGAGAAGUGCCAUUUCAUGGUACACCAAGGGAUUGUCCUUGGGCACAUUAUCUCCAAGCAAGGCAUUGAAGUUGACAAAGCAAAGGUUGAACUCAUUGUUAAGUUGCCAUCCUCAACAAAUGUCAAAGGAGUAAGGCAAUUCUUUGGCCAUGUCGGGUUCUAUAGGAGGUUUAUCAAGGAUUUCUCUAAGCUUGCAAGGCCUCUUUGUGAAAUAUUGGUGAAUGAUGUUAAAUUCAUAUGGGAUGAUGGAUUUGAAAGGAGUUUUGAAGAAUUGAAGCUAUUUUUGACAACCGUACCAAUAGUGAGGGCUCCCAACUGGCAACUGCCCUUUGAAGUAAUGUGUGAUGUCAAUGAUUUUGCUAUAGGAUUUUUUCUUGGGCAAAGAGAAAAUGGAAAACCUUAUGUGAUCUACUAUGCGAGGAAGGCAUUGAAUGAGGCACAAAGAAACUACACAACCACCGAGAAAGAAUUGUUAGCUGUAGUUUUUGCCUUGGAUAAGUUUCGCGCUUACUUGGUGGGGUCCUUCAUCAUGGUUUUUACUGAUCACUUUGCUUUGAAGUAUCUGUUGACUAAGCAAGAUGCUAAAGCAAGGCUGAUUAGAUGGAUUCUCUUACUUCAAGAGUUCAAUCUCCAUAUCAAAGAUAAGAAAGGAGUGGAGAAUGUGGUAGCAGACCACAUUUCAAGGCUAGCUAUCGCACAUAAUUCCCAUGCUUUGCCCAUUAAUGACGAUUUUCUAGAGGGGUCUCUCAUGUUGGUGGAAGUUGUCCCUUGGUACGCUCACAUUGCUAACUACCUGGUCACGGGAAAAGUUCCAAGUGAGUGGAAAGCACAAGAUAAGAAGCACUUCUUUGCAAAAAUUCAUGCCUACUAUUGGGAAGAGCCAUUUCUAUUCAAGUAUUGUAUGGAUCAGAUAAUAAGGAAGUGCGUUCCUGAAGAAGAGCAACAGGGGAUCCUUAGUCAUUACCAUGAAAAUGCAUGUGGAGGCCACUUUGCUUAUCAAAAGACAGCCAUGAGGGUGUUGCAAUCGGGUUUCUGUUGGCCAUCACUUUUCAAAGAUGCCCACACCAUGUGCAAGAGUUGUGAUCGAUGCCAGAGGCUUGGGAAGUUGACACGCAGGAACAUGAUGCCUUUGAACCCCACUUUAAUAGUUGAUAUUUUUUAUGUUUGGGGCACUAACUUCAUGGGACCUUUCCCUAUGUCUUUUGGCUACUCUUACAUCUUGGUAGGAGUAGAUUAUGUUUCUAAGUGGGUUGAGGCAGUCCCAUGCAAACACAAUGACCAUAGAGUGGUUCUCAAGUUUCUUAAAGAGAAUAUCUUCUCAAGAUUUGGGGUGCCCAAAGCCAUAAUUAGUGAUGGGGGUACUCAUUUUUGCAACAAGCCUUUUGAAACUCUCCUAGCCAAGUAUGGGGUGAAGCAUAAGGUAGCUACACCUUACCACCCUCAAACUCAUGGACAAGUUGAGUUAGCAAACAGGGAGAUUAAAAACAUAUUGAUGAAGGUGGUGAACACAAACAGAAAAGAUUGGUCAGUCAAGCUUCUUAAUUCACUAUGGGCAUAUAGAACAACUUACAAGACCAUUCUCGGGAUGUCUCCUUAUCGCCUAGUUUAUGGCAAAGCAUGCCAUCUCCCUGUGGAAUUGGAAUACAAAGCUUGGUGGGCAAUCAAGAAGCUCAACAUGGAUUUGAGCAGAGCUGGGUUGAAGAGGUUCUUAGACCUUAAUGAGAUGGAGAAAUUGAGAAAUGAUGCCUACAUCAAUUCAAAAAUUGCAAAAGAAAAAUUGAAGAGGUGGCAUGAUCAGUUGAUUUCCCGCAAGGAUUUUCAAAAUGGACAAAGAGUCUUACUUUAUGACUCUAAACUCCACAUCUUUCCGGGCAAGCUGAAAUCAAGGUGGAUAGGUCAUUUUACCAUUCACCAAGUGCAUUCAAAUGGAGUAGUGGAACUACUCAACUCCAACAAUAUCGAGAACUUCAAAGUGAAUGGCCACCGUCUCAAGCCCUUUGUGGAGUCUUUUUCUCACAACAAGGAGAAAUUCAUCCUCCUUGAUCCACAUCAAGCUUAACAAGACCAAUUUUCUUGAUGGACUUAGUCUUUCUAAAGACUAUCGAGUCCAUAACUUUUUGUUUUAUUUUUUAUUUGAGAUUUUUUCGGUAUUGUUACUUGUUUUGUUUUUUAUUUUUCGUUUUAAUUUUAUUUGGUUUGAUUUAACUUAGGUUUUUGAUGAUCAAUUACAGGGGGGAUUUCAAAUAGAGGAAAAACCAAGAUAAUUCGCACACCCUACGAAAAUUUCGCAAGGCAUGCGAAAUUUAUGGCUUAUUUUGCAUGGGGUGAAAAUUUUCGUACAUCUUACGAACCAAUUUCGAACACUUUGCGAAAAUAAACCAACCCUGCGAAAUCAUUUCGAUUACUCUACGAAAUUUUCGUAGAGCAUGCGAAAAAUUUAGCACACCAAACACCAUUUCGCAUACUAUGCAAAAACCUAAGGGGUCUGCGAAACCAUUUCGCACCUCCAAAUCCAUUUCGCACAUUGUGCGAAAACCAAGAGGCGCUGUGCGAAAAUGAAAAGUCGCCCUGUCAUCCCUUUUUAAACCCCUCGAGCCCUAAAAUCUCCAUUUCGCAAGCACCCCUGUCCUUGCGAAUCCCUCAUUUUCCUCUACUACCUUGCAACCUCGUCCCUUUCCAUUUGAUAUUGUGCCCCGCGCACAUCUCAUUUCAGAGACUCGCACUCCGCGCCCCCUCAAAGCAUGGACUCGAGACCCACCUUCCAUUUCCGACGUGGCACGGACCCAAGGAGCCCUUUCUGCCCCUUCACUAAGACACACACCAAGGCAGAAAGCCUCCUUUGCUCAAGUGCCUAGUGAUUCUCCAUCUUAGGCCUCAGAGGCCUCGGAGGCCCCGUGGAUUCCACCUUCCGAGGGUAGAGCAGCCAUUGGUCCUUCCUCUUCUACUCCUUAGCGUAGAUACGAGACGAGGAGACCACCUACUACACAAGGGGCGACUACUUCGAGCCUUGAGAAUUCAGUACGAUGCCUUCCUGCCAAGAGGGUCAAGACUUCAGGUCCAAGUGAGUCAUCCAGAGCUUCAUAGCCUAAGCCUCCUGUAGAUUCCAAGGUUCCUACUGACAUAUCACCGGAGUCUAUUAUCAGAAGCCCGAUGCUCAUAGCACCGCCCAUUGAGGGCAACUCAGAUUAUAGAGCGAGAUCUUUCCACUUGGAGCUAUAUUUUGAUCAGGAGGCCAUACGACAGCAGCCUGAGCUCCGAGACUCUUAUGGCUUACUGCAGAGGUACCAUCUUGAGGAACUUAUGACUCCUCGUGAGUUUUUUUAUCCCAGAGUAGCACUAAACUUUUACCAGUCCAUGACUACUCGUGGCGUCCCGAGUCCUACCACGAUUCACUUCACCAUUGAUAGACGUCAUGGUAUCCUCAAGGCCAGACAUAUUACAGAGGCUCUACAAAUUCCUUUCGAGCUAGAGGAUCCAUCUGUUUUUCGCUAAUGGUCCCCAGUAUCUCAGAGGGACAUGGUCCGUAUUUUAUCUAGGGGAACAUCUACAGAUUCGAUCUUUCUACGGAAGGAGCUUCGACCUGGGAUGCUCCUCUUAGAUGUGGUGCUAUGCUCCAACCUCUUUCCCUUACAACAUUCGGUACAUAGGUGAUGAGCUAUUUUGGACGCUUUAUUCCGUAUAUCAGAGGGCUUCUACUUUGGCCCGCACCACUUGAUCAUGGUCUCCCUCAUCCACUUUGAGGAGAAGGUUCAUAGGAAGAAGCUUCAGAGGGUGGACACCAUUCCAUUACUAUUCCUGAGGUUACUUUGCCAGGUCUUGGAGUACAUGGGCUUUCCUACUGAGCCUCGGCUCGAGCUUUGCCGCCUUUGUCGAGAGUGAUCCACUCUCGACAAAUGGAAUUAGUUGGCGGGCUAUUCUGCACCUCCAGGAGCCCCUCCCAUGGUAGCACCUCCAAUGUCCCCACAGGCAAAGUAGGGCGAGCUCCCGGCAAAGACUGUACCACCAAUGCCCACACUUGAGGCUAUUUCUGCUGCUCUGCCUAUGACUCCUACUGUUCCACCAGUUGGUCCUUUUACAUCCGAGCCUUCCAUCACCAUCUCGGCUUCGGAGUUUCGCGCCCUUGUGCAUACCUUUCAGACACUCACCACCACACAUACUCCUCUCUUCUAGCAAAUGGUUGAGAUGUGUGCCCAUCAGGACCGGAAGACUACUAUACUCUGCCAAAUUCAGCAGCACCUAAGACUUUUGCCUCAACCUCAACCUAACCAUCCCAUAUCAUCAGAGCCUCUAGCUCCAACUGAGGAUACUAUUCCACCUGAGAACACUACCACAGUAGAGGUCCGGUUUCCACCACCUUAAGAGGCCACCACAGCUACAUCAGAGGAUGUGUCAUCUCCACUUGAGGCUCCCACUACUUGAUCAUAGGACAUAUCUUUAUCUUAUUGUAUUUACAUAUUAUAUUACUAGAGAUUUGUCCUUGUUUUGAUACUUUAUAUUCUGGGAUUGGAUGUAUUGCCUGAUGAUAUCUCAAUUGUACUUUCUCAUAUUAAUAUAUAGACAUCAAUUUUUUUUAGUAUACUUAGCAUUUUUCUAUUUCCUCUACUCAUUACUCUUUUGUUUUUUUUUACUCAUGUGGUUUCUCUUAUACAACUCAGACUCCAUUUCACUCAGGAGGUACCACUUCCUCCCUUUAUUUUCAAUUGCUCUUGAAAUAUUGAGUGCAAUGUUGAUCUUGGUUGGGGGGAGAGUUGAGGAAGGAAGUUUUGUUAAUAAUGCUAGGUUAAUUUGUUAAUUUAGUUACUUUCUGCUUAAUUUUAAAAGUUUUCACUCUACUUUCCAUGGUUAUUAAGGAAAAAUUCUCAAAAUGAAAUGGGAGAAAUCGAAUUCUUGCAUUUUUACUUGAAUCUUAGAAUUUGUAUCAUGCUUAUUAAAGUUGAUGAAUUAUUGAAACUCCUAUUGAAUUCAACCUUAUUUUUUCCACUUUAAUCUUACCACACACGGUGCACAUUAGGUUCCAGUUAUAAGAUAAAAAACUAUCUCACCCCCUAAACUUAGAAAAAUUUACACUUGGUACCUUUGACAUCGUUUUAAUAGUGUUGGGACACCUUAUAAAAGGCCAAUGAGCCUUUAAAAAAAAAAAAAAAAAAAAAAAGAGAAAGAACAAAGUAUUGCACUUGCCUUGAAACCUGAGCAAGAUCCGAGGGGUAUACAGUGAAAGUCUUUAAAACCUGGUGCCCUAAGCCUUGAUUGGUUGGGAGUCACCGACCUCAAUGCUCGUUAUAAGGGUGAAUAGGUGGAGUUUAACAUAUUGUAGGUGCUUGGGUAUUGAAUUUCAAUCUCAAAAGUCCGGGAAAAAAUCUAAGGAGUUAGUGGUCAAAAGAUCCUUAAAGCUUGAUGCCCUAAACCUUGAUUGGUUGAGAGUCAUUGAUGGAUCCCCGCUACAUGGACAUUUUAGAAAACAAUACCUUUAGCAUUGCACGCCUACAAUGAAAAAAAAAUGUGAAAUAAAAGAGGUGCGUUCUUAGCCUAUUGGAGGUUGGUCAGUUUGCUAAAGUUUGAGAAAUCUAGGUUGGGGGGAGAGAAUAGUCCGACAUACUAUAAUAAAAAACUAAUAACCUUAACACUUAGAUUUUUGUGGAAGAGUAAGGAUUGGACCUUUAGGGGUGGAAAUUCUUUUGAUGCUUAAAUUUGCAUAAUGCCUACUCUUUAUAAAUUAUGAUUAGGCAAGAGAUUUGAUGACUCUUGUUCAAAGUUGGGUUUUUCCUCUUUGAUGUUCCAUGAGAGAGUAUAAUCCUCAUCAUGCCACUUGAAAUCUUUUUGGAGUGAUUAACAUGAUUUUGUAAAUUAUUUUACUGUCUAUUUUUCUUUAUCUCUCUUUUAUUGCUAAUGGACUAGCAAUAUGUCAGUUGGGGGGAGUGAUUACUACUCAAAAAGUACUCUUUUAUAGCUUGAAACUAACUGUUUUAAACACUUUUGAGUAGGUGUUAAUACAUUUUAACUCAAUUGGCACAUUAAGGAACCUAACAAGGGUUACUAAUAAGUUUUUGGCAAGUUUUGGUGUUUUUGGUAGCUAUUUGAUCAUUGAAACAAGCCAAGAAUGAGGGAGAAUUUUGUGAAGUCCAUAGCAAUGCAAGUUAAAGCUCAAAUACAUGAAGAAUCCAAGCUUUGAAGCACUUCAUAGCCCUUUGCGAAGCCAAUCAGAGAUGCAAGGAAGAAAACCAGAGGAAAAAAUCCAACAACCAGCAUUUUCGCAUGGCUGUGCGAAAUUUUGCACACCAUGCGAAACCACAAGAAGUAGCCAAAGAAUUUUGCACACCAUGCGAAAUUUCGCAUGGUAUACGAAAUCUUCCUAUGCACCAACUCCGUUAUAUUUUUAUCUUCAGAUAUUUUGUGUAAUUUCCUAGUUUCUCCUUGUAACCAACCUAGAUAUUUUCUUUUAUAUCUUUUUUUUAUAUUUUUUAGGUAACAUCAUAUAUAGGGGGAGAGACAUAAGGAGGAUAUGGAUGUUUUUCAUAAAACACUUUUAAUUUUCUGGUAGUAAGAAAUAUACAAAGUUUUUUGCUCUGCCUUACCUUCUCAUUUUGUUUUCACCUAUCUUUCUAGCCAAACAACCUCUGAGAAUGAUUUCUCAGGGGAUGAGUAGUUAGGUUUUACGUUUCUUGGAGUGAGAGAAGCUAGGUGAAAGACCCAAAUGCUAAGGUGGGAGUUGUCCUUGCUUUAAAUGAAAGUAGUUGUUAAAUAUUAAUGGUUUUUAUUUUAAGGUUUAGCUUUAAAUCCCUUAAAAACACCUUGAAUGGCCAAUACUUGGUAAGCUUUUCGGAUUCUAUGGAUGCUUAUUGCUAGAUCCAUGGAUGUCAUUAGUUAUCAUUUAUGAGCCAUUGGAAGGUGGUUCAAGAUGAGAGUCUUUAGUGUUUGAAGCCAUUAAUGGGAAACAAUUACCAUUUUUUCAUGAAUCCUUUGGAUAAAAUCUUAAUUGCUAAAUAUAAAACUGGUUCGGGAGAUAACCAUCCUUUAUGUUAUUAUGCCCAAUGCAAGGAGAAGAUUUCGAAUCUUCUCAUUUGUCUAAGGAACCCGAUCCUAGUGACCUAAAGCUCCUAGAGACCUUUUCUUUGUAGUUAACUUCAUUUAUUGUUUUUGCUUAACUUAAAAUCAAUCUUUGCAACCACAAUUCCAUUUUCUUUAAAAGCUAAUUUUUAUAAGGAAAAGCACCAUUUUAUUUCCUUCACUAAGUCAACUGUAUGAUGAAAACCCAUCCCUGUGGACGAUCUUAGAGCCACUAUACUAUGUUAUCUAUGCUAUCCUAGUGUGAGGUGAUUUAGGUUUUAUAAAUUUUGUUGAUAACACCCGUCUGAGCCAGAAUCAAAUGGAACCACUGAACCAGGGACAAAUCAACAGCCUAUAUGGGAGGGACACAAGUUUAAUUGAUUUGCAUUUCAGCGUUAUAGAUAAGUAUGUUUUGGAAGAUUUGUUCUGGAAAUACUGCACCAAGUACGAUUCUUUUUCUCUUGAGUGAGUCCAUUUGCAUGCCAAUUAACGAGUUGAAAAGUAGGAGCACCUACCUCGUGCUCAUGGAACCGAAUGUCAGUGAAGUGGGGCUCCUUUUAGCCUCUUGUGUUUCUGUUCCAACCAAGGCGGCGUAGGGAAAAACAACAAUAUGUCUGUGCUAAAUAUCAACGCAUGAUAGAUGUUUUUUUUUUUUUUUUUGGUAUGUCAAGGCUAACGAAUGAAAUGCAUUAGCUUGUUUUGUGACUAUAACUGCAAAUGUCCAAAUUGGAGUAUCUCCAUUUCUCACUUCGGAUGGUUAACUUUAUAAACAAGAUAUAGGAAACAUGUGAACAUCUUGAGGAACAAUUCAAAUUAUUCAUUAGAAGUCCUGGGUUAAGUUCCAAGAUUUAAAUCAGACCCUUCUAGCAGCUUCAAGGGUACUUAGCAACCUAUAACAUAUUAAUGAAGAUUUAGGAUUUAGACUCCGGAAUACAAAUAAAUAUGUAUCUCAUGCUUUGACUAGCUUCCCUACAUAUGCAUAAAAUGGAGAUGACCCAAAAAAAAUAGCAGAAUCUAGCUUCCCUACAUAUGCACAAAAUGGAGAUGACCCAAAAAAUAGCAUAAUCGCCUUAGUUUCUGUGGUUAAGGUGAUUCUCCGCUUAAUAUCCACAUUGACUCAUUAUGCAAAAUCAACUGAGCUAAUUUUAUUUAUUUAUUUAAUGUCAAAUAGGAACUCCUAAUUAACUGAUUACUGUCGAAAAGUGCUAUUUUGUAGACCUAAUUAUAAGGGUUUUAAGCACCUUUGAGUAGUAAUCAUAUUCAUUUAACCUAAUUAAUUCAUUAAGCUCCUUAGUAAUUAGUUCUAACCAUUUUUAGUGGCAAGUUUACAUGUUUUUCAUCAGCUUAUGAACCAAUUCAAGCAUGCCAAUUGAUGGAGGAGCUACUUGGGCGAGUUAAGCAAGGAUUUUGGACGUUUACAGGCUUGAAUUUCAAGUGGAAACACGAGCACAAGCAAUGGGAACACCAUUUCGCAAGGGGAGGCAAUUCACCUUGCCAAAUGACCAAUUUCGCAAGGGGAUUUUCCUCAUGGUGCAAAAUUUGGUCAUUUCGCACCAUGAAGAAACCACCUUGCAAAAUUUCGCAAGGUGGAUUUAGGCACCUUGCGAAAUGCCAAAUUUCACAAGGUGGCUUUUCACCUUGCGAAAUUUGGACCUUUCAUCUUCCCCCCUUGCGAAAUGCCUUUGAAAUCCCCUGUUUUGAGACGCUGUUGAUGAUAUUCCACUGCCGGUUCUCCAAGAUAUUUUGCUUGACUUUUAGCUUUAUAAAUACCUAUUUUACCCUUGUAAUCAACCAAUGAAAAGGUUGCUUUUGUAAUAGCUCUUGUAAUUUAGCUUUUUAUUGUCUUUAAAUAGAGGUGAAGAGCCUCAGACACGAUCAUCUUGUAACCUGUAACUUUAUAAGUUAUAAGAGCACUUUUGUUCAUACGCUUCUUUUCUCUUUUCUUUCUCAUUUUCUUAGUAGCCAAACAUCCUUGGAGGAUGAAAUCCCCAAGGAUGAGAGGCUAAAACCUUUUAGUUUCUUGAAGUAAUGGAUGCCAUGUGAAGCUCCCGUGUCAGGAUGGAGAUUUCCAAGCCAUAAAUGUAAGUAGCUGAGCGUCAUAAAUGUUUUCAUUCAAAGUAAAGCUUUUAAUCCCUCUGACUUGCUUUGAAUGGCCAAUACUUGAUAACCUUUUGGUCUCAAUGGAUUCUUAUUGUUAGAUCCACUGACGUUCAUUAGUUAUCUCCUACGAGCCAUUGUAUUGCAAGUCGAGGAGAUGACCUAUACCAAUAAAAGAGCAUUUAUGAGGUUCAACUACCCUUUUUGUAAGUUUUCAAGGACUAAAACUCAGUUGUUAAACUCAUACCGGUUCGAGAAGUAAGCAUCACCUUAGUUGCUUCCCCAACUCGAGGUGAAAAGUCCCAAAAUCUCCAUUUUUACACAGUGAGUUAAGCAUGGCUAUCCAAAGCUUUAAGAAACUUCUUUUUCCAUCUUUUAACCUAUUUUCAUGUUAGUUUAGUUUACAACACCUUCAUCUUUUUAUGUUUUCAUCUUAACCUAAUUUUUAUUAAGAAAAGUUCACUCCAUCCUCCGAACUUCACCAGUUAAAGUAAAAACCCUUCCCAGUGUUCGAUCCUAGAGCCACUAUGCUAUAGUAGCUUUGCUACUUUAGUGUAAGGACCUUAGGUAUAAAUUUUGUUGAUACCCUUACAUGCCAAGCUACCAAGAGUCGGGUUAUCAUUAACCUAACCAUUGGCCUGUGUAAAUUGAUUUCACAUGCACAAUGUUGUAGUAGAAGUCCAUAUUUUGAAUUUUAUUUUUGUAAAGGUAAGGAAAAUGAAGCAUUGUGUAAUUAUAAAAAUAACUUCAUUGGAAUUCACAAGGUUCACCCAAAAUGGAGCUACAUCUGUAUUCUAUCCUACAGUAGACUAUAUAGAUUGUACAAUAGUAAAUUGCAAAUACAAUUAAUAAGUCUUGUGCUUCCUUACUAAUAAUCCUUUGACAUGAACAUUGCAGCACUAAGGUCCUCUUGGGAAGACACCUUGCACCCAUGAGAGCACUAAGAGGAAGCAAGGCAGAGUCAUGGGUGCAAUGUCAUGACUUGUUGUUGCACCAAGAGAGGCUUGGUGAUGCCAUGGUGUUGCAGUAGCAAGAAUGUUGCCUUGGCAGGGACACGAUCUAGGGAUAGAUGCCAAGAAAGGCUUAGCACUCACAUGAGUUGCACAAAGAUGAAUGUAAUAGAGCAUCAGAGAGACGUCUUGGCAAGUAAAUGAAUGGAUCCAAGAGACAACAACAUGAGGAGUUUCAAAUGGAUAAGGAAUGACUCAAAGACAUUUGAAAGCUACAAGUUGGAUUCUAAUUACGAUUGCAAUUUGAGUUUGAGUAGGAGUUUAGAUUUUGAUUGUAAUUGUAGUAUGAGUUGGACUAGGAUUGCUUAUCCUUAGUCAAUAUAGGAGCGGUUCGUGUCACCCUAUGAAAAGAGUUUGAGUAGGGACUAGGAUUGCUUACUCCUAGUCAAAUAUGGAGUAGGUGGUGCCACACCUAUAAAAAAAAGGGACAACAUGAGAGAGAGAGAGAGAGAGAAAGAGAGAGUGAAUUCACUAAAGAUAUUGUGGGAGUUUUGCUUUGUUACGUCUUGUAUUAUUACUUAGAAUAGGAAUAAAAUACAAGUUGGGGCUAGAGCCCCAUAAUUAAUCUCGUGUGCCUUUGUGGUUAUUCUUUAUUUGUCAUCUCGUGUGGAUUGGAUUAGGUUGACUUAGAGGGCUUCUAAGCACCACCUUUGUGGGUUAUUAUUUAUUUUCCAUCUCUUGUGGAUUAGAUUAGGUUGACUUAGAGGGCUUCUGAGCACCACCUUUGUGGGUUAUUAUUUAUUUUCCAUCUAUUGUGGAUUAGAUUAGGUUGACUUAGAGGGCUUUUAAGCACCACAUUUGUGGGUUAUUCUUUAUUUUCCAUAUCGUGUGGGUUGGAUUAGGUUGACAAGGAGAAAAAUUAUGUGGGAAAUUUGUGUUGGGACACUUACCAUAACCAAGUAAAAUCUACCAAGUCCUUUGUAAUAUCUUCAACAAAUAUUUUAGACUAGUUCUUUCAGUUAGUGUAAAGGAGGAAGAAGUGGUAUUGAUUCUAGAAAUAGGGUGUGUGUAUUUGAACUACAAUCCUUAUGAUCCUUAGGUCUCUAAACCUUCGUGAUGGGCUCCCUGACAUUUCAUAGGUUGUGCUACACAUGCGUUUGAAAUUUAGAGUGCGUUUGACAGUGAUUCCGGGAAGUGUUUUUGGCCUUUCUUACACUUGAAAAUUUUUAUUUUUCAAGUAUUAGAAAUGCUACAAACACUUUUGAAAAUUACUGUCAAACACACUCUUAGGAGCGCACAUAUAUAGUAGAAAACUAGAAAUUGUGGUUUUUUUAGGAUUUACUGUAAUGUCAUUAGGAGGGUAGUAAGUUGAAAUUGAGUAUGAACAAAUAUUUCUUUCUUUGGGAUGUUCUUCUAGUAGGUGCUGAUGAAACUGUUCUUUCUACUGCCAAUGUCACAUAUCAGCCAGAAAUUGAAAAUUUCAGUCAAGGUGUCCUCUGUUUUAGUGGUGAGGAAAGCUAGAAAUUUUAAGGUGAAGUUUUGUUAAAAACCUUAAGUAGCUGGGAUAUCAGGCCUGUUUUGCUUGAAAAAAAAAGUUGCAAGAUAACUCAUAUGCCAAACAGGUUCUGAUAUUGUGAAUCUAUCGGCAGACAUCAGUAAUCUCAUCUUCUGAGAUGGAUGUUGGGGGUGCAUGUGGUGGUGGAGGGGCAAGGUUUCAUUUGGUUUAUUUUGUUGAUGGAUAUUGUCUAGCCACCUGCGCCAAGUUUGAGGGGUGGUGGGUUGUGAUGACCCUACAAUUACUAUUAAUUUCUUCAUCUUUUACCGAUUAAAGUGUCCGAACAGUCGAAGUUACCCUUAUGCAUGUCAACUUGAUCACUUACCUCUUCAAUGGAGUUUAUGCUGGUUCAUUUAGGAACUGAUUUUUAUUGUUAUGUAUUAUAUGCUGAUGUUUAGGUCUCUCCAUCAUCACUAUAUACAAAAAUUCUAGGUUGAUACUAUAGGUUGAGAUUUAUUUUUUAAAUAAAAAAUAAUAAAAAUAAAAAUUAUGGUGAUGUUUAGUUGUUUUAUGGAAAAUUUUAACAAGUAAAAGUUAUUUUUGGGCAAGUUUUCAAACAAAAAGAAAAGUAAAAGUUGUUUUGACAAAAACAUAUAGAAAAAAAAAUCAUAGAAAAUAAAUAAUUUCCCCAUAUUCUAACUUUUUUGAAUUUUUCUCAAUGGGCAAAGGAAUAUCAAAUCAAGUUUGAGUAGGAUUUCUUAAUUUUUAAAAUAACUUACAAUUAAAAAAUUUUGGUGUUUUCAUUUUUGGACAAUUUUUUAUUAAGCAAAUGGACUCUGAGUCAUGCAAGAGAUAUGGUUCAUUAACCGGUCGAACAAUUUUUUUAAAUUAAUUUAAAAGUCAAAUACAUAAUCAAUUUCACAAAAUUUAUAAACAAAAAUAGGUUUAGAGAAGAUCUACACAUAAUUUUACUUUUCUAAUUUUAUUUUAUUUUAUUUUUUGUUGGAAAAUAGUCUUCAAAUCAUGUAAGAUUUAAUAGGUUAAAUUUGUUAACAAUAAAUUUUAAAUUAUAAAAUAUAAUCUGGAACUCAAAAAUCAAUUCAAGUAAUGCUAAAAAAAAAUCAAAUUUGGUAUAGAAUGACUUUGUAAAUUUUUUUACAAAACAAAUGAAUUUUAAAUCAAGUGAGAUUUAAUGCAUUAGAUUUUUAUCAAAUAUAGUAAUUUUAAAAAUAAAUUUGGAACUCAACAAUAGACACAAUAAAUACCAAAAAAUAAUGAACCAAAAUUGGUUUGGAAUAACUCCACAACCUUUUUUUUUUUUUUUUGGUGCACACGAAUUUUCUUACUAGGUAUAUUGCUUUCAAAUUGAGAAAGAUUUACCAUUUAGAUUUUUUUUUAAUGAGUUUAAUGGUAUUUUAAAAUAAUUCAAAAUUUAAAAAAUUGACUAAUUAAUAUUAUAAAUUGAUAAACCAAGACUAUUUCAAAAUGCAUUGGGGGCUAAGGGGGUUGAAAAUAGGGACAAUGGGAUGGGUUUGGGACAUGACACUCAUAUCUCAUUUCCAUUCCAAUUACACAGUUAUCUCCCAUCCUUAUCCCAAACUUGUGUUGGAGCAAGUUGAUUUGUUCCCAUCUUUGUUGACGAAAUGACUAAUAACCUCAUCCCCUCCUUAUCUUAGAUGUACAUUUUGUCAAAUUUGAUCAGGUAUGAUUGAUCCAAGCCCUAACCCUAAUUGGUAAUGAGUGAAUACUACACCUAAUUGCAUUCUUCUUUCAUUGCAAAAUAAUGAGAUUAUAAUAAUCUAGCAAAUAAGAAAAAAUAGUAUGGAAGUUCAAAUUAACACCAUAACUAUCAAUAAUUUUAAGCUUAUAGAUGACUUAAAUGAUUAAAAACUAAUGCAAAAUCCUAAAAAAAAUAAAAAUCAUAUAAAGAAUUCACAAGAGAACAGAAUGAACAAAAACCAAAUAUGAACAUGGGUCAACAUUAGUUAUGGAUUUGGAUUCCUUUCAAGGCCAAUCUUUGAACCAAGACUUCAUCAAAUCAACUACUUCAAAGGCUUUUGUGUUCUUCUUGGGUUGUGCUCUCAAACAAAGACUUCGAGGUGAUGUUCUAGAUGAUUGAAUUACACAUAUUUAGGGUGGAGAGAUUGGAGAAGCUUGAAGAUGCCAACGAUGGGUACAAUUGAGUGGUCAAUAAGAACAAUGUAGCCUAUGACUAGUUUGAUGUCAUGGUACAAGAGUUUUAGGCAUUGAGGUUAAAGCAAGAGCAACAUGGAAUUGAUUUCGGAGUCUUUCAGUUAGUGUAAAGGAGGAAGAAGUGGUGUUGAUUCUAGAAAUAGGGUUUUAAGUGGUGCGUGAUUACUACUCAAAAAGUGCUAUUUGAUAGCCUUUAAUUAAUCCUUUUUAACACUUUUGAGUAGUAGUUUAGGCCUUUUAACUCAAUUGGCAUGUUAAGGAUCCUUUAAAGCAAUUUUGAUCACUUUGUGCAAGUUUUGGUGUUUUUGUUAGUAUUUUGAUCACCAAAGCAAGUCAAGAAUGAGGAGAACUAUGAGGAAUCAUGGGCAAAGCUUAGAAUUCAAUUGCCAAGAGUGAAUCCGGAUUGCAAGGAGAAAAAGCAAAGAGAAUCUGUCAUGAAGCCUAUUCUUGAUGACAGUCGUAGCAGCCACUUUUGGAGCACUUUCUGAAGUCCAAAUGAUGCAAGCUAUAUACCAUUUCAAAGAUCAGGAAGUCAACAAUCCAAUGCUUCAAACGGUGCGCGAUUCGGAGUUGAAACGAAGAAGUUGCAGCCAUUACAAGCCAGUCACUCUAAAGUGUUGCGGAAUCAGCCUUUUGUUGCGAGAAUUUCGCAGCACUUUUGUACAGUAAGGUGUUUCUCCUUCUGACGAUGCACGAACCAUGCCGCGAGAGGGAAGCUAGGAACUUCAAGAUGGAAGCCAACUUUGCAGCCUGGUGAAGAUAGCUUGGUCUUGCGAAAUAAUUUCGCAGCCCUCUUGGGUGUCUGCGAAAUUUCGCAGGCACCACUUUUUUCCUGCGAAAUGGCUCCGGAAGCCUCCCGAAGCUUGCUACCGACAUUGGGAGAUAUUUUCCAUUAGAUUUUUGUUGUCUAAAUUCCAAAAUACUCCUUGUAAACCACCAAUUACAUGAUUCCUUAGUUUUUAAGUUAGUAAAAAGACCAAAUAUCUAUGUAAUAAUUAGUUUUAUAUUAGUUUGCUAUAAAUACCUCUCGGGAGCAUGUUCUCAGAGAGGAGUUCCUUCUGUAACCAUUUUGGUAAGCAAGUAAAGUCUUUUCUUUCUACUGCCUUACCUUCUCACUUUGUAUUUUCAUUUUAUUUCUAAGUUAUGAAUUCUCUGAGGAGCUUUCCCCAGAGAAUGAGUAACUAAACCUCCAAUUCCUUGGAGCUAAGGUUGCCGGGGAAGGUUCCAAGUGCAAGAAUGCAAAGCUCUGUGGUUUUAGCUAGUAAUGAAGAGGAAGUGAAAUCCUUUAGUGAUUUCAAUGUUUUUAGUUAACUUAAAACACCUUGGAGUCACCUGGGCCAACACUUGGUAAGGCAAGUGAUUUCCAACCGUGGAAAUGCACUAGUUUACCCCUUGCGAGCCUCUGGUAGGUGACUUCAAGGUAGGAUUUUCUGGAAUUACCAACACUUGGUAAGCUUUUGGACUCCUAGGAGACAUCCAUUAGUUAUCUCUUGCGAGUUUGUGAAGGGGAAUCCAAGGUUAAAGAUCACCUUGAAUGGUAAGUGCUCGUGAGAGGCAUGAACCAUUGCAAGUUGUAUCAGUGAGAGAAUUAAAGUGAAAUCUAAUUGAAGGAGUCUCUGUACAUCACCGGUUAGAGAAUUGACUAUAAGUUGAAUCUCUAAUGCGAGGAAAUGAACCAUCUGACCGGAGCUAUGUCUUUUGCAUGAGGAACCACCCCAGUGAACCUAAAUCUCCAAGGAAUGCUUUUCUUCCUAAAUUAUUCCAAACUUCUGUUAAGUUAGUUAGUUUAAGUCUAAACCUUUACCAAUCAAACUUUGUGUUUUAUUUCUUAAGCUAACCGUGAAAUGAAACAAAACCAAUUCACUUGGAAUUGGUAUCCUUGAUUGCUUGCAAAUCAUUCCCAGUGAACGAUCCUUAGAGCCACUAUACUAUAGUAGCUUUGUAUUUGCUACCCUAGUGUAUGGUGUUAUAGGUAUAAAUUUUGUUGAUCACUUCCUCAAUCAAGGAACACCAGCUGAACACAAAUCAGCUGAGACACCAAUUGGGCAUGAGUCAAAUGGCGCCGUUGCCGGGGAAUGAGUGUCAAGAUCAUUGUGAUACCAUUUUUGAGCACUUGUGAUUUUCAUCACAAGUUGGUAAAGUUUCUUUCACUUUACUAAUUUUCAUUCUCUCUUUGUUUAUUUACAAUCUAAGUUUAUCUUUUUAAAAUUUAGUCUAGUUUAAUUUUGCUAUUGUAGCCUUGUUUCUCUUGUUGUCCUCUGUUCUUGUUGUCCUCUGUUUUCAUUUUAGUUGCAGCUGAAUACUAGUUGUGUAUGCCAAAGUGGAUACGAGACAUUGGAGGUAGGCUUAUUAAGUGUGAUACACCUCAGAGAGGAGAAUUGGAAGUAAUCUUGAAUAUCAUGGAGGCUGCACCUGAAGAUCAGCAUAGUCACCAAGGUCGUCAAGACAAUCUCAAUGAAUUCAGAUCAAUGAGGGACCGUAUGCAUCCACCUCGUAUGAGUGCACCAUCAUGUAUAGUGCCCCCUACAGAGCAACUAGUGAUCAGACCAUAUCUUGUUCCACUUCUACCAACUUUCCAUGGGAUGGAAAGUGAGAAUCCGUAUGCACACAUCAAGGAAUUUGAAGAUGUUUGUAAUACAUUCCAAGAGGGAGGAGCUUCAAUUGAUUUGAUGAGGCUUAAGUUAUUUCCUUUUAAUUUAAAGGAUAAGGCCAAAAUUUGGCUUAAUUCUUUAAGGCCAAGGAGUAUCCGCUCUUGGACUGAUUUACAAGCUGAAUUCCUCAAGAAAUUUUUUCCUACUCAUAGAACAAAUGGCUUGAAAAGGCAAAUUUCAAACUUCUCAGCUAAAGAGAAUGAGAAAUUCUAUGAGUGUUGGGAAAGAUACAUGGAAGCUAUAAAUGCUUGUCCUCACCAUGGCUUUGAUACUUGGCUACUGGUGAGUUAUUUUUAUGAUGGUAUGUCCUCCUCAAUGAAGCAACUCCUCGAGAAAAUGUGUGGAGAAGAUUUCAUGAGCAAAAAUCCAGAGGAAGCUAUGGAUUUCUUGAGCUAUGUAGCUGAUGUUUCAAGGGGAUGGGAUGAACCAACUAAAGGAGAAGUGGGAAAGAUGAAGUCUCAGUUGAAUGCUUACAAUGCAAAGGCUGGGAUGUAUACUUUAAAAGAGGAUGAUGACAUGAAAGCAAAGUUGGCAGCUAUGACAAGAAGAUUGGAGGAGCUGGAGCUGAAAAGAAUGCAUGAAGUGCAAGCUGUUGCUGAAGCACCAGUGCAAGUGAAGUUGUGUCCCAAUUGUCAAUCGUUUGAACAUUUGGUAGAGGAAUGCCCUGCAAUUUCAGCUGAAAGGGAAAUGUAUAGAGAUCAAGCAAAUGUUGUUGGACAAUUCAGGCCCAAUAACAAUGCUCCUUAUGGAAAUACCUACAAUUCAAGUUGGAGGAAUCAUCCAAAUUUUUCAUGGAAGGCCAGAGCAACUCAAUACCAACAGCCGGAUCCACCAUCUCAACAAUCUUCAAGUAUUGAACAAAUAAUAGCUAAUCUCAGCAAGGUAGUGGGAGAUUUUGUGGGAAAGCAAGAAGCCACCAAUGCUCGAGUGGAUCAAAGAAUGGACAGAGUGGAUCAAAGAAUGGACAGAAUGGAGAGUAUGUUGAACAAAAGAAUGGAUGGAAUGCAAAAUGAUAUGAAUCAAAAAUUUGAUAACAUCCAAUAUUCAAUUUCAAGGCUUACAAAUUUGAAUACACUGCAAGAAAAGGGAAGAUUUCCUUCUCAACCUAACCAAAAUCCCAAAGGUGUCCAUGAAGUGGAAAGCCAUGAGGGAGAAUCAUCACAGGUGAAAGAUGUGAAAGCUUUGAUCACUCUAAGGAGUGGUAAGAAAAUUGAGCAGCCAACACCCAAGCCACAUGUUGAGAAAGAAGAAGAGAUGAAGAAAGGGAAGGAAAUGGAAGAUAAAGGCAGUGAGAUCAGUGAAGAAAAGAAGGACUCUGAUGCAACAAUGAAAGUAAUUCCAGAGAAGGAGCUUCUGAAGGAAGAAAUGCUGAAGAAAUCAACUUUUCCACCUUUUCCUCAAGCAUUACAGGGGAAAAAGGGGGUUAGAAAUGCAGCUGAAAUCCUAGAAGUAUUGAGGCAAGUGAAAGUUAAUAUUCCACUGCUGGAUAUGAUCAAACAAGUUCCAACGUAUGCAAAAUUCCUAAAGGACUUGUGUACUAUCAAAAGAGGGUUGACUGUAAACAAGAAAGCCUUCUUGACUGAGCAAGUAAGUGCAAUCUUACAGUGUAAGUCUCCUUUGAAGUACAAAGACCCUGGAAGUCCUACCAUUUCAGUCAUGAUUGGAGGAAAGGUAGUGGAGAAAGCCUUGCUAGACUUGGGAGCAAGUGUGAAUUUGCUUCCAUAUUCUGUCUACAAGCAACUGGGACUUGGAGAGUUGAAGCCAACAGCAAUCACUUUGUCUCUGGCAGAUAGAUCAGUGAAAAUUCCAAGAGGGGUAAUUGAGGAUGUAUUGGUUCAAGUAGAUAAUUUCUACUAUCCUGUAGAUUUUGUUGUUCUUGAUACAGAUCCUACUGUAAAGGAAGCUAAUUUAGUUCCUAUCAUCCUUGGAAGGCCAUUUCUUGCAACUUCAAAUGCAAUCAUCAACUGUAGAAAUGGGCUUAUGCAACUCACUUUUGGUAACAUGACACUGGAUCUAAAUAUUUUCUAUAUGUCUAAAAAGCAAAUCACUCCAGAAGAAGAAGAGGGUCCAGAAGAGCUAUGUAUUAUUGAUACUUUGGUGGAGGAGCACUGCAAUCAACAUAUGCAAGAUAAGUUGAAUGAAAGUUUUGUGGAUAUUGAGGAAGGUUUUUCUGAAUCUCCUAAUGGGCUUGCUACUCUACAAAGUUGGAGAAAGAUAGAAGGAAUUCUACCUUUGUUCAAUGAAGAAGAGGAGGCAGCUGUUGAAAAAGAAAUUCCAAAACUCAAUCUGAAGCCUUUACCUAUGGAGCUGAAAUAUACAUAUCUUGAAGAAAAUAAUCAAUGUCCUGUCGUAAUAUCUUCAUCUCAAACCAAGUCUCAAGUGAAGGAUGCAAGCUUCAAAUGGGAUCCGGGCAAACUGAAUCAGGAAGGGCAAAAAGUUUUGAUGUAUGACACAAGACUCCAUAUCUUUCCUGGGAAGCUCAAGUCAAGGUGGAUUGGUCCAUUUGUUAUUCACCGAGUAUAUUCCAAUGGAGUGGUGGACUUAUUGAAUUCCAAUGGCAAGGACAGCUUUAGAGUCAAUGGAUAUCGUCUUAAGCCGUUCAUGGAGUCAUUCAAAUCAGAAAAGGAGGCAAUCAACCUCCUUGAACCUCAAAAAGCCUAAGUGAAAUGGGUUUGCUGGACGUGGUUUUACCACAGUCCAAAAAUUUUUGUAAAUUUUGUAAAUUUUCAAGUUGUUUCCAUGCUUUUAAUCUUAGUUUUUGAUUUUAAAUCAUGUUUUUAGGUGUGUUUUAAUCGUUUUAUAUGAUCCCAGGCGGAAGAAAUUUCAAGGGGAUUGAAAAGAAAAAAAUCGGGUCGAAAUUGGAGCCGAAACAGAGCAAAAACAGGGGAAAAACAGAGCUCUGCGAAAUUUCGCAGGGUGAAGGAAACUUCUGCGAAAUUGGCAUUUUGCUGCCAAACCAUUCCGCAGCACUGUAGAAGCCUCUGCGAGUGUAUUUCGCAAUUGCGAAAGUGGAUUUGGCACACGAGUGCCACUUCGCAGCACAGUGACAUCAAUUUCGCAGCUGCGAAACUCACUGCGAAGUUGCUGCGAAAAUGGCAAGUUGCUGCGAAAUUGGCGUUUUGUUGCGAAACGUAAUCUGACCCCUGGGCUUCCGUUUUUCCUAUUUAUACCUGUCAAAAGUGCUGCGAAAAAGGUUUCAAAAAUUAGAGCACCAUUCUCGCAGCCCUUUCAUCUUCUUCGCCAAGCCACGCCGUCCGUUUCUCCGGUCGUCUUCUCCGUUUAGCAGCGCCGGCCAAAGAUCGAUAGCCCAAAAAUGGCACGAACGCGAGGGGCAAAGUCUUCAUCCCCUUCGAACCGCAAAAGGAGUCUGCGAAAGGAGCCAAGUUCAGGCUCUGUUCCAGAACCUGCUCCAAAGCCUUCGCCGUCGAGACCACAACCUUCUCCAGUGAAGCCGGCGCCACCAAAGCCGCCGGCAAGGCGAUAUUUAACCAGGUCAGGUGGUCAGCCAUUGAAGAAGAAAGCCAGAGUUGAGAGCUCUGAACCAAUCGAUUUGACUGAGCAAUCCCCUGAGAAAUCACCAAAUCCUUCACCGGUACAAAUUCCAGUGCCAUCACCGGUUCCCUCGCCAAUUCCCUCACCAGAAGCAACUCCAAUUCCAUCGCCGGUACCAUCUCCGGCACCCCAAGAAAAAGCUCAGGAGCCUCAAGCGCCAAUUCCAGAGCCCCAAAUUGCAGCUGAAGCACCUCUGGAAGAAGUGAUCCGAAGGCCAAUGCUGCCUCAGCCCCCAAUCGAAGGAAACCUGGAUUGCCGAACUCGGGCAUUCCAUUCUGAGCUUUGCUUCGAUUUAACAGCAUUCAGAGUGAGGCCAGAGCUUGCCCAAUCCUUCCAACUGCUGAGGAGAUAUCAUAUGGAGCAUCUGCUAGCUCCAAGGGAUUUUUUCUAUCCCCGGGUAGUCACGGAUUUCUACCAAACCAUGACAACCAAAGAAGUAAGAAAUCCAACUCUGAUUCAUUUCAUAAUUGAUGGAAGGCAUGGUAUUUUGGGAGCAAGACAUAUUGCUGAAGCCCUGCAAAUUCCUUUUGAGCCAACUCAAUUCGACAAUUUUAAAGCUUGGACAAAUCCUACUGAGUUAGAGAUGGUUAGCACACUAACCAGAGGAGCUGCAAAUCGAUCGCAUUUGUUGAGGGGGGAGCUACCUCCAGUUAUGUUUUUGAUUGAUGCCUUUUUGAGGCAUAAUAUCUAUCCCCUGCAGCAUUGGACCCAAAGAAGGGGAAUUCUCCUAGAAGCCUUGUACAAAAUGUCUGAAGGAUUCUUCUUUGGGCCUCAUCAUCUGAUCAUGGCAGCCCUUCUAUACUUUGAGGAGAAGGUUCACAAGAAGAAGCUUCAAAGAGCAGAUUGCAUUCCACUCCUCUUCCCAAGGCUGCUAUGCCAAGUUUUGGAGCAUCUCGGAUACCCCUCUGAGCCUCAGCAGGAAAGAAAGAGAAUAUGCCGUGAGCCUUUUACCCUUGAUAAAUGGAAUAAUAUGACGGCCUACAAAAUUGAUCAGCCUGGGCAGCCUCAGCCAGCAGCAAGGAGAGUCUCCCCAAGACAUAUACCUGAAGGUAUAACACUUGCUACUCCUGCCAUCCCUCGAGCUCCACCAGCUGCACCUGCUCCAUCACAGCCAUCCACAUCAGCUGAGCCGAGGAUGGCCAUCCCUAUAUCCGAAUAUCGAGAGCUGUGCCGUGCAUUGGAGACUCUUACAGCUUCUCAGAGCAAUCUUGCUCAGGAGUUGGCAGCCAUUAAAGCAUGCCAGGAGCAGAUGUUAGCCUCUCAGACUCAACAAGCUGCCAUCCUAAGGCAGCUUCAAGUCCAUUUCGAUCUGCCACAAGCUGUAGAGCCCUCUAUUCCUACUCCACCAGAGCCACACUCUCAGCCUUCAGAGUCUCAUCCUCCAGAACCCGAAGCACCAGCUGAUCCACCUACUGAGGAGGCAGAUCCUUCUGCCUAGCACCAUCACCCCCCUCAUCAGACAUUAUAUAUAUAUUUGCUGUUUAUGUUUUUAUGCAUGUUUGUUUUGUUUUAGUUGAAAAGAAAUCCCAGUAUUUUGGUACUAUAUAUGGGAUUCCUUGUGUUACUUGUCUUUAGUAUUGUAAUCACAUGAACUCAAAGUAAUACAAGUUGACUAUUUCUUGUUAAAAGUUAGCAUUAAAGUUUCCUUAUUUCCUUUUCUCACAUAUUCUAUUCUUUUUGAAACAUGUGGUUUUCCCCAAUCAAUAUUCGAAUUUGAUAUCAGCAUGGAGGUACCACUUCCUCCCUUUUAUUACAGUCACUCAAAUCACAUUGAGGACAAUGCUCAGUUCGGUUGGGGGGUAUGAGGAAGGAAGUAUUCUAAACCUUUUUGGUAUUGCAAUUAUAUUGGUUAAUUAGUUGUAGAUUUUACUUUUUACUAGUGUUACUCUAUUCUCCAUGAAUUUUGAGGAAAAAUUUUCAAAUUAAACCAAGAGAAAUUGAACUGUUGUUUUUCACUUGACUUAGAGUAUGGAUUAUGCUUACUAAAGUGGUUCAAUUGUUGAAACUUCUACUGAAAUUGAAUUGAGUUCUUCCACUUUAAGCUAUCCACACACUGUGCACAUUAGUUUCCGAUUAUAAGAUGAAAAGCUAUUUCCCUCUUGACUUAGUAUAUUUUUGGGACUUGGUAUAUUUGACCUCAUUUGAUAAAAAUUGAAACACCCUGCAAAAGGCCAAUGAGCCUUUGAAAUAAAGAAAGUUGUUUGCUUGCCUUGAAACCCGAGCAAGGUCUGAGGGGUAUAUGGUGAAAAUCUUUAAAGCCUGGUGCCCUAAGCCUUAAUUGGUUGGGAGUCACCGACCUCAAUGCUCGUUACAAGGGUGAAUAGGUAGAGUUAGCAUAUGGUAGAUGCUUGGGUAUUAGAAAUUCAUUCUUAAAAGUCCGGGGAAAAAUCCGAGGAGUUAGUGGUUGAAAGAUCCUUAAAACUUGGUGCCCUAAACCUUAAUUGGUUGGGAGUCAUCGAUGGACCCCCAUUACAUGGACAAGUCAGAAAGAGUACCCCAUAAAGCUACCUUAAAAAAAAAAAAAAAAAAAAAAAAAAAAAAAAAGAUGAAAGUGUGUUCUUUUCUUAUUGAUUUUGGUCAGUUUGCUAAAGUGUUGAAAAGAGAUAGGUUGGGGGGUGAGAUUAGUAGCAUAUUAUUCUCGGAACCUAAGGAACCAAUACACAUAGAUUUUUGUGGAAGAUUGAAGUUUAGUUCUUAGAAAAUGAAAUGAUUUUAAAACUUCAGUUUGCAUAAUGCACUCCCUUGAUUGACAGUGUUUAGCAUAGGUGUUAUGACUCUUGUUGAGAUUUGGGUUUGUAUUUCUUUAAUGAUUCAUGUGAGAAAUAGAUCAUCAUGCCACUUGAGAAUUAUUUUCCUUUUAGCAUGAUGUUGUAAAUUUUAGAUUAGUUUGCUAUUUAUUUUUUAUUUUCUCUCCUAUAUUGCUAAGGGACUAGCAAUAUGUCGGUUGGGGGGAGUGAUUACUACUCAAAAAGUGCUAUUUGAUAGCCUUUAAUUAAUCCUUUUUAACACUUUUGAGUAGUAGUUUAGGCCUUUUAACUCAAUUGGCAUGUUAAGGAUCCUUUAAAGCAAUUUUGAUCACUUUGUGCAAGUUUUGGUGUUUUUGUUAGUAUUUUGAUCACCAAAGCAAGUCAAGAAUGAGGAGAACUAUGAGGAAUCAUGGGCAAAGCUUAGAAUUCAAUUGCCAAGAGUGAAUCCGGAUUGCAAGGAGAAAAAGCAAAGAGAAUCUGUCAUGAAGCCUAUUCUUGAUGACAGUCGUAGCAGCCACUUUUGGAGCACUUUCUGAAGUCCAAAUGAUGCAAGCUAUAUACCAUUUCAAAGCUCAGGAAGUCAACAAUCCAAUGCUUCAAACGGUGCGCGAUUCGGAGUUGAAACGAAGAAGUUGCAGCCAUUACAAGCCAGUCACUCUAAAGUGUUGCGGAAUCAGCCUUUUGUUGCGAGAAUUUCGCAGCACUUUUGUACAGUAAGGUGUUUCUCCUUCUGACGAUGCACGAACCAUGCCGCGAGAGGGAAGCUAGGAACUUCAAGAUGGAAGCCAACUUUGCAGCCUGGUGAAGAUAGCUUGGUCUUGCGAAAUAAUUUCGCAGCCCUCUUGGGUGUCUGCGAAAUUUCGCAGGCACCACUUUUUUCCUGCGAAAUGGCUCCGGAAGCCUCCCGAAGCUUGCUACCGACAUUGGGAGAUAUUUUCCAUUAGAUUUUUGUUGUCUAAAUUCCAAAAUACUCCUUGUAAACCACCAAUUACAUGAUUCCUUAGUUUUUAAGUUAGUAAAAAGACCAAAUAUCUAUGUAAUAAUUAGUUUUAUAUUAGUUUGCUAUAAAUACCUCUCGGGAGCAUGUUCUCAGAGAGGAGUUCCUUCUGUAACCAUUUUGGUAAGCAAGUAAAGUCUUUUCUUUCUACUGCCUUACCUUCUCACUUUGUAUUUUCAUUUUAUUUCUAAGUUAUGAAUUCUCUGAGGAGCUUUCCCCAGAGAAUGAGUAACUAAACCUCCAAUUCCUUGGAGCUAAGGUUGCCGGGGAAGGUUCCAAGUGCAAGAAUGCAAAGCUCUGUGGUUUUAGCUAGUAAUGAAGAGGAAGUGAAAUCCUUUAGUGAUUUCAAUGUUUUUAGUUAACUUAAAACACCUUGGAGUCACCUGGGCCAACACUUGGUAAGGCAAGUGAUUUCCAACCGUGGAAAUGCACUAGUUUACCCCUUGCGAGCCUCUGGUAGGUGACUUCAAGGUAGGAUUUUCUGGAAUUACCAACACUUGGUAAGCUUUUGGACUCCUAGGAGACAUCCAUUAGUUAUCUCUUGCGAGUUUGUGAAGGGGAAUCCAAGGUUAAAGAUCACCUUGAAUGGUAAGUGCUCGUGAGAGGCAUGAACCAUUGCAAGUUGUAUCAGUGAGAGAAUUAAAGUGAAAUCUAAUUGAAGGAGUCUCUGUACAUCACCGGUUAGAGAAUUGACUAUAAGUUGAAUCUCUAAUGCGAGGAAAUGAACCAUCUGACCGGAGCUAUGUCUUUUGCAUGAGGAACCACCCCAGUGAACCUAAAUCUCCAAGGAAUGCUUUUCUUCCUAAAUUAUUCCAAACUUCUGUUAAGUUAGUUAGUUUAAGUCUAAACCUUUACCAAUCAAACUUUGUGUUUUAUUCCUUAAGCUAACCGUGAAAUGAAACAAAACCAAUUCACUUGGAAUUGGUAUCCUUGAUUGCUUGCAAAUCAUUCCCAGUGAACGAUCCUUAGAGCCACUAUACUAUAGUAGCUUUGUAUUUGCUACCCUAGUGUAUGGUGUUAUAGGUAUAAAUUUUGUUGAUCACUUCCUCAAUCAAGGAACACCAGCUGAACACAAAUCAGCUGAGACACCAAUUGGGCAUGAGUCAGUGCGUUAGAGGAUCAAGAAGAAGAAAAAGAAGGAACUGUUGGAAUUAGUAUGAGUGUGAAGAGAAAAGUAUAUAAAUAAGGGGAAGUAAAAGCAAAGUUCAAAAAGCUAUAUUUUUUUAUUGUUGGUGUAUGGUUGCAUGAUUAUCCCUAUAAAUAAUAGGAGUUUUUUGGUAUUCUACUAGUAGUUGAAGCAUAAUUUCAUAAAUUAAUAUUUAGAGCGGGGUGGGGUGAGUUGUGACAAAAUUCAUACCCGUCCCAAACCUUGGUUCAGAUUUUUAAAAUAUUCUCAAACUUAUCAUAUACCCAACUUUUAUAUUUCAUACUUGUCCUAAUAGAGGCACGUUAGGCCGGGUUACUUGAGUAACCUACAUAAUUGUCAUCCCUAGUUGAAAUACACUUUUUGGCAGUGGCCACCAACUGAGCUAGAAGCUUGAUUGAUUGACCUACAAGAUUAGUUCUCAUCAUUUUAAAAAAAGUUCUGGCUUUGGUUGUGAGUGCAAUUGAAUCUAAACUGGCAUUUGCUUAAUGCAUCUACUUCAAUCCUAAACUUCUUACUUCUUAAGCCUCAAUUGUUGUUAGGAUUUUGGAAAACCCAUUUCCUUAAAUUGUAAAUUUAAGAUAAAAUAAAAUAAAAGUGAGACAUUUCUUGAUUGAAUAUUGUUAAAGGUCCCUUGGCAUUAAGACUUGGUUGAAGCCUUGGAAGAUUAGUGGAACUCUCAACAUGUGUUUGAAUCUUGAGGAGAGUGGAUGUAAGCCAAAAUUUUGUCAAACCAUUAUACAAAUUGAGUUUGAAUCCUCAUUUCUUGAUUUCUUAUUUAUUUGCUUUUUCUUAUUAUUACUUGAAUUGUCAUUUGCAUUCAUUAAUGUUAAAAUUGGUUAUAAUUAACCAACACUAAUUCUCUUUCCCCUUCCCUUUCUUGGGUGUAAACCUAGGUUGGAUUAACUAGAUAAAUCUAUUAAGAUGGUAAAAGAAUAAUUAUUCUUAACAUACAUAAGAUCAUCUUCAAUCAAAUGACUCAUUGGCUAAUAUGUUGAAUUUGCUUAUUACUUGCAACUCAAAAUUGUGUUCUAGUUGUGUCAAGUCCCCAGUGUAUGGACAUUAAAUUUGUAGUACGUGAUGAGUAAUUAGAUGGUCCAACUCCAAGAAAGUGAUUGAAAAGUAGUUCAAGAAAGGUGCAAAAGGGAAUUGUUUUGGUAUUUUCGUUUUUAUUCUUGAAGGUGGCAGAGCUAAAAUUUGAGAAAUCAAGCAAAACAUACUGAAAUUACAUUGAAAGAAAGAAGAUGGGAGUUAAUGUCUUGCAGUACAUGAUAAGGACUUCAUGCAUGUAGUGUGACCCAUGUCUUGGACUGAUGCCAACUCACGGUUACACUUAUACCCUUGGUUCUCUCUUUACUACCUUGGCUAACCUAGAUCAGGCUAUGAGAUAGGCUCCUCACCACACCAUUACUUGCCCAUUAAUUAGAGACAUUUUCAAGCAAUGAGGUAACAUGGUGACACCAAGAGGGUCUAUUCCUCGCCCGGAACAAGUCUAGACUUGGUCUCAAAAAAAUGGAGAAAAAUGAGGUGUCGUUAUGUAGAAAUACAACAACCAUGCCUUCCUCAUUACUUAGAUUCAGAAUGUGAAGGUGAAAUUGAGAAACAGAAACUCUUGAAACCAAAAUGAAAAUUGAUACUUUUACGAAGAAUUACAACAACAUUAGAGGAAGACUACAUUCUUCCUCUUUAUUCCUACAUUUCUACACUACUUCUACUCCACUCCAUAUUUCUACAUACAUCUUUAAUCAGUCUUCCCUCCUUUAUAUAGAGCCAUCUUCACACAAAUUUCGCAAGGUAGAAAAGAGGAAUGAAACUUGGAGCAAGGUUCGACUACUGGUUGUAGCUUGUCAAGGCUGGAAGUGAACUUUUCUUGGCUUUCUGGGCAUGGGUAGUAACUUGUGGGUUCCUGUUUGGCAUAAAAAUGGCUAGAACAUGUGGCACUAUCUUGUUGGAUGAUGUGUCAAGCAUGUGGCAGCCAUCUAGUGGCGAUUAUGUCAAUUUUGGGAUGGAGAGUUGGCAUCCAAUUGCAAAGAAAUAUGACGUCUACCAACAUGCAAUGUAAACCUAUGUAGAUCAUAUGAAGAUAGAGAGGAAAAAUAUAGAAAUGGAUAUAUACCUAGAACUAGCUUUUUAUUAAAUGAAACGGAGAGACAACAAUGAAGGAAAAUAAAAUUUUUUGGCUUAUAUCAAAGAGUUCACAUUGUGUUACCCUAGGUUUUCUUAAAACUUACUUUUAUGAUAACAAAAAAGAAAAAACCAUUAUUGUUUAAUCCUUUGUUUUAAACGCAUGUAAGGUGUAAUUAAGUUAGUUCAAUGCAUUAAUUUAAGAAACUUGACCUAUCAAAAGUACAAAAUUAGAUGAAAUCCAUUUCAAUGGUUAAAAUGAUCAAAAUCAAACUUUUUCUAAGUAUUUUUUAAAAGCAUCAAUAGUGAAAGACAAUUUUAUAUUUAGUCGGAGUUUGGACAAAACUGAAAAACACACAAAAUCCAAGCGACCAUCUCUAGCUUGGAUGGUCGCUUGAUCCCACCUAGAGAUGUGCAUGAGUAAAAGGAUUUGAAAAUGGAAAUUGACUAUGUAGUCGAUCAAUUAACUUUGCAACAUCAUAUGCAAUCCUAAUUGCUAGUCAUCUAAUCAAUUAGGUAGUCAAUCAACAGGCCAAAAAUAUGUUUAUAAUGACUAUUUUGUACAAAAACCACCUGUAUAGUUAAAUAUAAUGCAUUUCAUUUAUAAAUCUUCUAAUUCUUGAAUAACGAUCCUAUCAUCCUUUGAAAGUUUUUAUUACACUUUUUUUACUUUUGUUCUAAAACUUACACAUCACCCUUAAUUGUACCAUGAGAACCUAGCUAUUUUUUAUUUUUUUUUUUGUAAUUCAUCAAAGUUAGCUUUUGUAUUCAUUGUUGUAUUAUUUUUAGUAUAACUUAGAAAGCUAGUGUUUUCAAGUGAGUAAAAUUAACUUGUAAAUAUUGUAAAGAUUCAUCGACAUGUAUCUUAAACUAAGUGUACAAGUUAAAACAUUUGCUAGUAGAUUUUCUCAAAAUUUAGAAUAGAGCUUGAGACUAUUGAAAUAGGUGGGGUUGCACCAAACCACAUCACAUCGUUGUUUGCACCUUUUUUCACUCUCUUUUACUUAGUUGCUCUAUAUUUGUUGUCUAGUAAUAUCCUAUAGGCUUGAUGGGUUAGGGAGCAUCCCUUUGUGAAAAAAUUUUAUUCAAUCCUUAGUUGUAUCACGCAUAUAUAAAAUGCCUCAUUGUUUUAAUGGUAUUCAGUCGUGGCAUCACAGAUAUGGGCAUCUAAAUUUUAAAAGUUUGAAACUUUUAUCUAAAGAAAAUAUGGUGCUUUGCCUUUUUGUAAAGCAUGUUGAUGAAAUCCAUGAGAAUUGUGUACUUGGGAAGCAACACCGAGAUGACUUUUUUUUUUUUUUUAUAAUAUUGUUUGUCCAAAUUCCCUACAAAUUAGGCCACCAGAUGUUCAUAAUUCUCCCUUCUUGAAUUUGAAAACUCGGACAAUUGGACAAUGCGACACCUAAGUCCGGUUUCUAAAUGCUAAAGUGAAAGGGUAGGUAUGGACCAUUGAAAUGUGAUCACAACUUUUCUCUGUAGCCAUGUUGUCUCUUUUUUCUUUUGCAUGAUUUUCUUACCUUAACAGAAUCAUAGACUUGUUUAGUCUCUAAAUGGGAUUAAUUUCAUCCAGCUUUAAGCUACUAUAUUAUAUCUAGGUGGAGGACUUUUAAGAGUGCAACCGACAUAGAGCACAUGGAAGUGGGUAUAUGGGACAUGAAAUUUCUUCUUAUAAAGAUUGCAUGAUUUUUAUAUUAGAGUUGUUGAGGCGCUAUGUAUUUAGCUUGUUUUGCAGUUAAAUUAAUUGGAUAAGUAGACAUUGGCGUUUCUAAAUCUACUGUGAAGUGCUUCAUGUACGUGUGAAGUAUUAGAAAUUUCUUUCUUGGCAACUUGUUUUUCUUUGCGGUCUACUGAUAGGUUUGACUAAAAUUAUAUUCCCUGUCAUGCUAAUUAAUUUUCACGUGCAUGCUCAAAAGAAAAGUAUGACCUUAGUGCACCAAAAUCACUUUGAUUAAUUUGUGAUAGGUUUUUGUGCAUCAUGACAUUAGCCUUAUUCAUUUAGAUAAUGUUUAGUUUUUAGAAAGUAUUAAGAAAAGGAAAAUAAAUAUUAAGAAAAAUAUUCUUAUAUUUGAUUGUAUUAUGAAAAAUAUCAUAAAAAAAUCAAAUAUAAUUUAAAUUAAUUAAUAAUUUAUACAUUUUCAAAUUAUUUAAUCUUUAUAUUGAAGAUAUAAUAUAAAUGAAAUGAGUUUUAAGUAUUAUAUAAAAGUGAUUUAUUGAUCUUACAUAUAUAUAUUUCUUUUUUUUUUCCUUCUAUUUUUUCUCUUUAUUUUAUUUUCCUUAUGUUUUCCUCAACAUUUUCCGGAACCAAACAUAGCCUUAGGAAAUCCACAAUUACCUUCAACUGAGUAGAUUCUGUUGUUUUAGCAAUGUUAGGCUGCUAACUUGUGUUGGUACGAACCUAUUAAGCCUAAAGAUGUAAUUAGUUAGGAUAUUCUUUUCCCUCUAGUCUUGUAGCUCCACGUGUACAGUUGGUUAGGACCUCAUUGUAUAUAAUGCUUGCCCUGUUAUUGUAGAAGACAACAAAGAUAAAUAAUAUUAACAUUUUUCCUCUCAUCUCUCUCUGUUUCCCUCUGUUUUCAUCUCCUCUCUCAUCUUGGUAUCAGAGCCUCCAUGGCUUCUUUCAAAGAAACCUCCGAAUCACCUUCUGCUAGCAUUGUUAAUGUGCAAAACCCAUUAUCUCAAUCAAACAACCUUCCUUCACCAGUAGCCACACCCUCUUUUUCUUUCUCGUCUAUGAAUCAACCUCUCACAGUGAAGCUGGAUAAUGGGAACUACCUCAUAUGGAAGAAUUAGCUUCUAAAUGUCAUCAUUGCUAACGGACUCGAUGAUUUCAUUGACGGAUCUCGACCCUGCCCUCCUCGAUUUCUCGAUCUGCAACAACAAACCCUCAAUCCAGAGUACUCAGCUUGGCAGAGAUACAAUCGACUUCUGAUGAGUUGGCUGUACGCAUCCUUGUCCAAAGAUAUAAUGGCUCAGAUUGUUGGGUAUUCAACAGCUAUGGAGAUUUGGAAUGCCCUUAAUCAGAUUUACUCUGCCUCUUCUAUGGCGCGGUUUACUGAGCUUCGCACCAAGCUUCAAACGCUCAAGAAAGAUGGACUCUCAGUUGGUGAAUAUAUUCAAAGGCUCAAAUCCAUUUGCAAUAGUCUUGCAGCAAUAGGAGAACCAGUUUCUGAGAAAGACCAUCUUAUCUAUUUGUUCAAUGGAUUAGAUUGUGAGUAUUAUUCUUUUGUUACCUCCAUUCAAAAUCGAUCUGACCAACCAACUAUUGACAAAAUCCAUAGCCUAUUGCUUAGCUAUGACUUCCGGCUUGAACAACAAAACUCUGUUUCUCUCCAUUCUGCCCAAGUCCAUAUGGCUCAUCUGAACAAGAAACCUUAUAAAUCAACUCCUCAACCUACAUUCAAUCAUAUUCACAUUCAACCUAGAUACUCUUCUCCACCUUUUAAGCCAACCACUAGUCAAUAUCAACCCAACAUUUUGGGCAAACCACAACCACAACCAUGACAGCCUCAACCUCAAUGGAAACCACAUUUUUCAAUCUAAAAUCAAAAGCCUCAGCGCCAAAUUUGUGGUAAAUUUGGACACACUGCUCUUAUUUGCUUCCAUCACACAAAUUUGAACUAUUCACCCCAACCUUCUCCUAAAUCUUUCAAUACUGUUCUCACCACAAAUUCCCAGCUCCCUAAUCCUCCAAAAUUUUCUUACCCUACAAUGGCUCAUCCUGCUGCUACGCAUAACACGGUUCCCGAUACAAAUUGGUACAUGGACUCAGGUGCUACACAUCACUUUACUCUGGACAUCAACGUGCUUGACACUGUGACACCAUUUAGUGGUUCAGAACAGGUGACAGUUGGGAAUGGUAAGCAACUCUGUAUCUCACAUCUUGGUACUGCAAAACUACCAUCUUCGUAUUCUCCUCCUGUUCUACAUCAGGUAUAUCACACUCCAAAAAUUUCAAAUAAUCUUAUUAGUGUUAAAAAAUUGUGUUCUGAUAAUAAAGUUUUUGUUGAAUUUUAUGCCACUCAUUUUCUUGUCAAGGAUCAGGUUUCGAAGAGAGUUCUCCUUUAGGGUCAACUUGAUAAUGGCUUAUACAAAGUUCAGUCGUCAUGCUCUCCUUCUGCUGUUUCCUUUCCUCCUCAAGUUUUCAUAGCCAACAUCAAGUAUCCAAAUCUGUGGCACAAGAGACUAGGCCACCCAGCUUUAUCUGUUGUUAAUCAAAUCUUGGAUUCUUGUAACAUUGCUCGAACACAGAAAAUUUGUUUUAAUUUUUUAAAUUCUUGUCAAUUAGCAAAGAGCCACAGGCUUCCUUUUUCUCUGUCUCCAUCCAUUGCAGAAAAACCUUUUGAGUUAAUUCAUACAGACCUAUGGGGUCUUUCGCUCGUUCGCUCUAUUUCUGGUGCUCUUUAUUUUUUACUUUUCAUUGAUGAUCAUACUCGUUUUACUUGGUUUUAUUUGCUCAAAACAAAAGAUGAAGCAUAUCCUACUUUUCUCAAGUUUCAAGCUCUCAUUGAAAAUCAAUUUAAUACCAAGAUUAAGGCUGUCCAAUCUGAUUGGGGAGGUGAGUUUCGAUCUCUCUCCAUACCGUUUUCAAAUAUGGGCAUUGUCUAUUGUUUAUCGUGUCCAUACACCUCACAACAGAAUGGGCGAGUUGAGCGAAAAAAUCGCCAUGCGAUUGUCCUUUCUUGCUUGCUCUAUGCCCUUAUCUUAUUGGCCUUAUGCCUUUCAAACUGCCACUUACCUUAUUAAUCGUCUCUCUACCCCUGUGCUGCAUCAUCAAUCCUCUUACUUCGCACUCUAUCACAAACUCCCAACUUAUACUCAUCUUAAGGUCUUUGGUUCCUCUUGUUUUCCGUAUUUGCACCCUUAUAAUACCCAUAAACUCCAAUACAGGUCACUAGAGUGUGCUUUUCUUGGUUACAGUUCACACCACAAAGGUUAUCUAUGUCUUGACAUUCAUUCUAGCAGGGUGUAUAUUUCUCGCCAUGUGAUUUUUAAUGAAGAUUCUUUUCCAUUCAAGAAUUUGAAAUCUUCUCUCUCUCAGUCUAUUUCUUCUUCCUCUUCUUUAUAAGUUCCUCUGUUCAUUCUCUUGCCUCCCCUUUCCCCAUCUCCUCUUAUUUCUUCAUCUAUACCUCAUUCUUUUCCCUCUUCUUCUUCUACCUCUAGUACUUGUUCCCCUCUCGUUGCUCCUACCUCUCUUCCUUCCUCUUCACACUCUGUGUCUCCAUCUAUUCCACCUCCUUCUCCACCUUCUCCGAGUGUGGACCUGCUUGCACCUUGUGUGAAUACAAAUUUACAUACUUCUUCUCGCACUCACAAUAUUCAUCCUAUGGUGACUAGAUCUAAGGUUUGUAUCUAUAAACCUAAGUUGUUGUUGAGUGUCUCCAUAGGUUCUCUCACUAAGCCUACUUCCUUUCUUCAAGCUAUUAAAGAUCCUUCAUGGAAGCAAUCCAUGGAAUUCGAGUUUGCUACCCUUCAACACAACAAGACCUGGCAUUUGGUUCCUUCACCUUCCUCAGGCGAAGUAAUCGGUUGUAAAUGGGUCUAUAAGCUAAAGCUUCAGCCUGAUGGCUAAAUUGAGAGAUACAGCCUGCUUAGUAGCUAAGGGUAUCAUCAAAUUGAAGUAUGGACUACUUCGAAACAUUCAGCCUGAUNNNNNNNNNNNNNNNNNNNNNNNNNNNNNNNNNNNNNNNNNNNNNNNNNNNNNNNNNNNNNNNNNNNNNNNNNNNNNNNNNNNNNNNNNNNNNNNNNNNNAGCUUCAGCCUGAUGGCUAAAUUGAGAGAUACAAGGCCUGCUUAGUAGCUAAGGGUUAUCAUCAAAUUGAAGGUAUUGACUACUUCGAAACAUUCAGCCUGAUUGUCAAGCUUUCUACUAUCUGUAUUGUGCUCAGUCUUACUUUUUCCCAGAAUUGGUGUAUUAGACAGCUGGAUGUUCAUAAUGCCUUCUUACAUGGUGACUUAGCUAAAGACGUUUUCAUGGAACAACUGCCUGGAUUUGUUGAUCCUCUCUAUCCUACUCAUGUCUGCAAGUUGGAUAAGUCUCUCUACUGUCUUAAAUAGUCACCUCGGGCUUGGUAUACUAAGCUGAGUACUUCUCGCUACACUUGGGAUUUGUUACUUCUAAGAAUGACUCUUCCUUAUUUAUUUGUCAUUCGUCUCAUGGGUUACUUCUUGUUCUUGUCUAUGUGGAUGAUAUAAUCGUCAUUGGGAGCCACUCUCCUCAGGUUACUCACCUUAUCCAACAGUUGCAUCAUUAGCUUUCUUUAAAGGAUCUUGGUCCUUUACAUUAUUUUCUGGGCUUGGAGGUUCAUCACACCCCUACUGGUAUUCACCUCAGCCAAGCAAAGUAUAUCACUGAUCUCCUUACCCGGGCGGCUAUGUUGGAUGCCAAGCCAUGUCCCACUCCUAUGUCCUCCAACACAUAUCUCUCUUUUCAUGAUGGAGUGGCUCUUGAAAAUGGUUCAGAUUAUCGAAGUUUUGUUGGUGCCCUUUAGUAUUGUACCAUGACACGCCCAGAUAUAGCUUUUGCAAUAAAUAAAGUGUGUCAAUUCAUGCACCAUCCCUCUAAUGUUCACUGGCAGGCUAUAAAACGUAUUCUCCGGUACUUAAAGGGCACAUCUCAUUUUGGUCUCUUCCUACAGCCUUCCUAUGACUUCAACAUCACUUGCUAUACAAAUGCCGACUGGGCUUCCUGUCCUGAUGACAAGUGUAGCACCAGUGGCUACUGCCUCUUUCUUGCCUCUAAUCUGGUUUCUUGGUCAUCUUCCAAACAAAAAGUGGUCUCCCGCUCCAGCGCCGAAUCAGAGUACCGAGGGGUAGCAAAUGGGGCUGCUGAAAUUGCUUGGACUGAAUCUCUUCUUUGUGAACUUUCCAUUACUCCCCCUCCCCUCAUUCUCUGUGACAAUAUCAGUGCCACGUACUUAGCUGCCAAUCCUAUUUUGCAUGCCCGCACCAAACAUGUGGAAAUCGACUAUCACUUUGUCACGGAACGUGUUCUUCAAUGCUCUCUUUUUGUCCAGUUUACACCUUCUGAUGAUCAACUUGCUGAUUGCAUGACCAAGCCUCUCUCCACCCAACGUUUCAUCACUCUACGCUCCAAGCUCACUGUUCUCACUAGACCAAUGAGCUUGAGGGGGGAUGUUAAGCCUAAAGAUGUAAUUAGUUAGGAUAUUCUUUUCCCUCUAGUCUUGUAGCUCCACGUGUACAGUUGGUUAGGACCUCAUUGUAUAUAAUGCCUGCCCUGUUAUUGUAGAAGACAACAGAGAUAAAUAAUAUUAACAUUUUUCCUCUCAUCUCUCUCUCUGUUUCCCUCUGUUUUCAUCUCCUCUCUCAUCUGAACCAAAUGAUCCAUGUUAACCUUGGCUUGGUUUGAUUUGGCUCUAUCUUAGAGAGCUCAAGGAUCACGUCAACUCUGGUUUCUACUAUUCAGGUCCAUUCCCAUAUGAACUGGUUCAAAUUUGAGAAAAUGGUAACAGACCUUUAGUGAUGUUGGUUUGGAGCCAGUUGCCAAACCCGCCCUGAGCUUUACCACUAAUGUCAAGGGAGAAAGCCAUUUGAACAAAAACAAUAGCUUCAAGGGACUGAAUCGUGGAUGAAAUCUGAUCCACAUUUCUUCUCAUUUUGGAAACAAAUGAGAACUUAACUAAGAAGAUUCUACGGCCUCAUAGUGCUUUUCCUGAUCUAAGGUUGGUUCGUUUCCCAAACUGUGAGAUGCACGUGCCAGACUUCAGAACUCUCACGCUCAGGAGUGUAUCCACGUGGUGGACAUAAGAUGGUGGCUUAAGAUCUGGUGUCGGUGGCUUUACUUUACUAGGAGAGUAGUGUGUCUUCAUCUCAUUCACUGCCGGAGGGUGGCGUAAGCAGUGACGCUAAGGUGGGGCACAGUCAAUAUCAUUUGCAUUUGACCAUUAUAGUUUUCUCCCGGCUUUAAAGUAACCUUAUCGUGAUAAAGGAUUACUAGCACUAGUUCAGAUGAUAGUCAUGUUAAAUUCGGACCAUGUUUGUGUCACAUUAUCAGCAACCAUGUGUUUAUGGUUCAUGCUUUCUGCAACUAAAAUUGAUAUAUAACCAGGUGAACUUCAAUCUAAAUUCUGAAAGUACUCAUGUGAUAGAUGGUGCCCGUCUGCAGAGUCCAUCAAUUGAAAAAUGGAGUGAGUGUAUCUAUAAGAGGGAAGGCUUGGAAAAUGUUCAGUUUUCUGGGAAUUCAACAAGGAUCUAAAAUAGAUUGUUUUCUUUGCUGAUUUCAAUGGUUGAAAUUUGAGAAGAUUGUGUCCACAUAACACAACUAUUACUGGUCCUUCUGUUGCAAUUUAUCCUCUAAAGCUCUAGCAUGUCUUCCAAUUCCCACUUCCCUGUUACUCCAGGAAAGCUAUUUCUGUCAUUGUGAAGAAGAAAAGAGAAUGUACAUAUCGAUGCUUUUAAGUGACUGGAGCAUUUAUAUCAGGUGGUCUGCAGCCAUAUAUGCCACUUUGUGAAGAUUGGAACAGUCAAUCACUAGGCUAUAUAUUAGUGUGGCCCAGCCACUUUAAUCAAGGACAAGUCUUCAUACUUAAAGUCAAAUUCUGCCUUUAGUCUCAUUAUAAAUUUCUGUUUAAAUAUUAAGCAAACAUUUGUUUAAUGCGAUUAAGACAGUACUAACUCAAUACCUGUUCUAUUUUUGGAUGCAAAUGCUUGAUGGUUUCAUCAUUGGAUGGGAUAAAGGUGCAUUCAUGAUUAGGAAUACUAGUAGUUAUAUUUUAAUUCUCUUUUUUCUCAAUGAGACUUGUUGGCACAAUUUUGCUGUUGAGAAACCUACCUCUCCAUGGAAAAUAAGUUGUGAUUGAUAGUACUGGAUAUAUUCAAGAAAUCUAAAUAUAGAUAGCACAAAAUAUUAUCGACAUAAAUAGCAUUAACAGCGUACGUAUGUCUCAGUGCUCAUCAGCUAUAAGCAUGGGGCAAACACUUACUAUGAGCAACUUACGUCAAAAUUCCAGAAUAGGACAUAGAAGUGACAGAUAUAGAACAUUGCAUAUGAGUCACAAGAAAGGAAAUUACGGGUGCAUAGCAGCUCUUAUUUUACAUACUACUACUCAUACUGAUCAAAGUCACUCAGUUGGGAUGGGUGGGAGUAGGAGGUUUGUGGGGUGGCUUGUGCGGAGGAGUUGGCAGCUUCUUUCCAGGACCUGGUUGCUUCUCUGCUGGAGUUGAAGGAGGCUUAAUCUUCCGAGGUGGCUUGUAUGAGUCUUCAGCAUUCUCAGCUGGAGGGUGACCAGGGUUGUGACCAUAAUGUGGUGGCUUCUCUCCCUUAGGUGGUUUGCCAACUGGGGUUGGUGGCUUGUAUGAGUCUUCAGCAUUCUCAGCAGGAGGGUGACCAGGGUUGUGACCAUAAUGUGGUGGCUUCUCUCCCUUAGGUGGUUUGCCAACUGGGGUUGGUGGCUUGUGUUCUGGGAGUGGCUUCUCCCCCUUGGGAGGUUUUUCCAAUGGGGUUGGUUUGUGUUCAGGAGGUGGCUUCUCCACUGGAGGCUUGUGUUCAGGAGGUGGCUUCUCCACCGGAGGCUUGUGUUCAGGUGGUGGCUUCUCCACCGGAGGCUUAUGCUCUGGUGGUGGCUUCUCGAAUGGGGGAUGCUUAGGAUAAUCAGCAAGUGAGGGGGCGGUGAGAACCACCAGGCCAAGCAACACCACUAGCAAAUAUGUAGGAGACAUCUUUGGGUUUGGGCUCAGAUGGUGCAAAACUAGGAGAAUUGGCUAGCCUUUUAUAGCGGAUCGUACCCAAUAAUGAAAUGACACGUGUCAUUAUGACCCAUGUGUAAUGGGGUCGAUUUGGGUCCUACAGUGUUGAAAACUUCGACAUCCACUUUUGGCCUUUUGCUUUCUCUACAGCCGCCUUGCUUUUUCCCUCUUUCCUUUUGUUUUCCUCCUGCCCCAUUCUAUCAACUAAACACAAUUAUGUAGUUGUUUAAUUCUUAAAUGAGAUAUUAUCCGUCAAUCGUAUUAUAUUUUAUCAAGAGAGAACGGAGUGCAAUGUGGCUGUAAUUUUAUCGUUUAGUUUUAUCUCUUGGACCACUGCAUUUUUGUUAAGAGGUGCAAUAAUACACGUCUUUAUCUGCCAUUCAAUAUUUACAGUAAAGAGAGGGCACAAAACUCUUCACUUCGCACCAUAAUUAUUUUGUUUUCUGGACACCCCGGGGCCCUUUGGUUGGUUUGGGGGUCAGAAAGUGAACAUCAUAGGGGGUUUUUCCCUUAUGUGCAUUUGUAUCUGAUGGCUUUAACUCGCCUUGUUACUACAAAGAAACUGUCACAGAUAGGAACUUAUUCCAGGCUGAGUAUCUCCUCAUAGACCCUAUAAAAGAAGACAAGUCAUAAUGAACAUCUAACCUUUGUUCAAUUUGAUUCAAUGCCCCCAUUGUGUCCAUCUCACAAAUCUGAAUUAUUAUAUCCAUUGAAUACAUAAAUUAAUGAAGAAAAUAUGAAACCCAAGAUACAUCUCUGCACAACCUCAACCCUGGUUGCUAUGUUUCCCUUCUAUUCACAUGAUUUGAUGCUAAUUGCCAAACUUGCAACAAGCCCUGAGUUUGACACCUAGUAUCGAUGGGCGAAUUUAAAGUCUCCUCCAAACAUAUAUUCCACAGCUUGAAGCUCACAGAAGAUGUUACAGGCAGGGAAAAACCUUCAGAGUUCGCUACCAAAGAUAAUUAUUAAGGAGAUAUCACAAAGAGAAUUCCAAGGGGUCUGAAUCAAAGACAAAUUGGUCGUUCGUGGGGGUUCUUACUUUCUUUUGGGUAUAACUCACUGAGGGCACUGUCUUUGUUAUUUGCAUUUCACAUUUAGAGUUCUGUUCUGGAAACAUAUAAAAGGAGCAUCAUUUUGUUCUUGGGUAACCCAUAGUCGUGAGUGGGUCCAUUUGCAUGCUACUUAGUUGAAAAGUUGGACCAUUUGCUCCGACGCCUACCUCCCGGAUUCCAUGCUCGGAUAAAACAAGAAUAAAAAAAAUAUUUAUAAUUUACAAAUGGGGGAAAGAAAAAAAUGUCAACAACAAACCAGGAAAAAAGAGUAGUAAAAUUCAUGUCACAUGCUAGUGAGAGAAGGGGUUGUUACACUCACUCGAAGUUCUUUCCAAAAUAUCGCAUGGUAUUUUAUUUUAUGUGUCAGCGCAGUUGUGAAUGGAACGUGCAAAAGUCCAAAUUGGCGUUUUUCCUUUUCCCGUGUAGGAUGGCGACCUUUAAUAAAUAUUUAAAACAAAAAACGAAAAAAAGGAGGGAAAAGGGAUCAGAAAAGAUAAAACAAUGUGUACAAGAGCUCAAUUAGUUUGCAAAUUACUGUUUGGAUUUUGAUAGUAUUUUAUUUGUCCAUCUAUAUUUGAUGGAAAAGAGAAUUUAAGAUAUUUCUGAAACAAAAGCAUUAGUGUAAAACUAAAUUAAGGUAUAAUUAAGUUAGUUCAAUGCAUUAAUUUAAGAAACUUGAUCUAUCCAAAGUACAAAAUUAGAUGAAAUCCAUUUCAAUGGUUAAAAUGAUCAAAAUCAAACUUUUUCUAAGUAUUUUUUAAAAGCAUCAAUAUUAAAAGACAAUUUUAUAUUUAGUCGGAGUUUGGACAAAACCAAAAAGCACACAAAAUCCAAGCGACCAUCUCUAGCUUGGAUAGUCACUUGAUCCCACCUAGAGAUGUGCAUGAGUAAAAGGAUUUGAAAAUGGAAAUUGACUAAAUAUUUAGUUGAUCAAUUAAAUUUGCAAUGUCAUAUGCAAUCCUAAUAGCUAGUCAUCUAAUCAAUUAGGUAGUCAAUCAAGUGUUUGUAAUGACUAUUUUGUACAAAAAACCACAUGUAUAGUUAAAUAUAAUGCAUUUCAUUUAUAAAUCUUCUAAUUCUUGAAUAACGAUCCUAUCAUCCUUUGAAAAUUUUUAUUACACCUUUUUUACUUUUGUUCUAAAACUUACAUAUCACCCUUAAUUGUACCAUGAGAACCUAGCUAUUUUUUUUUUUUUUGUAAUUCAUCAAAGUUAGCUUUUGUAUUCAUUGUUGUAUUAUUUUUAGUAUAACUUAGAAAGCUAGUGUUUUCAAGUGAGUAAAAUUAACUUGUAAAUAUUGUAAAGAUUCAUUGAUAUGUAUCUUAAACUAAGUGUACAAAUUAAAACAUUUGCUAGUAGAUUUUCUCAAAAUUUAGAAUAGAGCUUGAGGCUAUUGAAAUAGGUGGGGUUACACCAAACCACAUCACAUCGUUGUUUGCACCUUUUUUCACUCUCUUUUACUUAGUUUCUCUAUAUUUGUUGUCUAGUAAUAUCCUAUAGGCUUGAUGGGUUAGGGAGCAUCCCUUUGUGAAAAAAUUUCAUUCAAUUCUUAGUUGUAUUACGCAUAUAUAAAAUGCCUCAUUGUUUUAAUGGUAUUCAGUCGUGGCAUCACAGAUAUGGGCAUCUAAAUUUUAAAAGUUUGAAACUUUUGUAAAGCAUGUUGAUAAAAUCCAUGAGAGUUGUGUACUUGGGAAGCAACAUCGAGGUGACUUUAUUUUUUUUUCCUUUUAUAAUGCCACACCUAAGUCCGGUUUCUAAAUGCUAAAGUGAAAGGGUAGGUAUGGACCAUUGAAAUGUGAUCACAACUUUUGGCCUUUUCCUUUCUCUGCAGCCAUGUUGUCUCUUUUUUCUUUUGCAUGAUUUUCUUACCAAAACAGAAUCAUAGACUUGUUUAGUCUCUAAGCUACUAUAUUAUAUCUCGGUGGACUUUUAAGAGUGCAACCGACAUAGAGCACAUGCAAGUGGGCAUAUGGGACAUGAAAUUUCUUCUUACAAAGAUUGCAUGAUUUUUAUAUUAGAGUUGUUCACGUGCAAUGUAUUUAGCUUGUUUUGCAGUUAAAUUAAUUGGAUAAGUAAACAUUGGCAUUUCUAAAUCGACUGUGAAGUGCUUCAUGUACGUGUAAAGUAUUAGAAAUUUCUUUCUUGGCAACUUGUUUUUUCCUUGCCAUCUACUGGUAGGUUUGACUAAAAUUAUAUUCCCUGUCAUGCUAAUUAAUUUUCAUGUGCAUGCUCAAAAGAAGAGUAUGACCUUAGUGCACCAAAAUCACUUUGAUUAAUUUGUGAUAGGUUUUUUUGCAUCAUUUAGAUAAUGUUUAGUUCUAAGAAAAAUUUAUAUAAAAAUGGUUUAUUUAUCUUACAUAUAUAUAUAUAUAUAUAUAUUUUUUUUUUUUUCAUUUUUUUUUCUUCUAUUUUAUUUAUUUAUUUUAUUUUCCUUAUGUUUUCCUCACAUUUUCCGGAACUAAACAUAGUCUUACGAAAUCAACAAUUGCCUUCAACUGAGUAGAUUCUGUUGUUUUAGCAAUGUUAGGCUGCUAACUUGUGGUGGUACGAACCAAAUGACCCAUGUUAAUCUUGGCUUGGUUUGAUUUGGCUCUAUCUCAGAGAGCUAAAGGAUCACGUCAACUCUGGUUUCUACUAUUCAGGUCCAUUCCCAGAUGAACUGGUUCAAAUUUGAGAAAAUGGUAACAGACCUUUAGUGAUGUUGGUUUGGAGCCAGUUGCCAAACCCGCCCUGAGCUUUACCACUAAUGUCAAGGGAGAAAGCCAUUUGAACAAAAACAAUAGCUUCAAGAGACUGAAUCGUGGAUGAAAUCUGAUCCACAUUUCUUCUCAUUUUGGGAAAAAAUGAGAACUUAACUACAAAGAUUCUACUGCCUCAUUCAUAGUGCUUUUCCUGAUCCAAGGUUGGUUCGUUUCCCAAAUUGUGAGGUGCACGUGCCACUCUCACGCUCAGGAGUGUAUCCACGUGGUGGACAUCAGAUGGUGGCUUAAUAUCUGGUGUCGGUGGCUUUACUUUACUAGGAGAGUAGUGUGUCUUCAUCUCAUUCACUGCCGGAGGGUGGCGUAAGCAGUGACGCUAAGGUGGGGCACAGUCAAUAUCAUUUGCAUUUGACCAUUAUAGUUUUCUCCCGGCUUGAAAGUAACCUUAUCGUGAUAAAGGAUUACUAGCACUAGUUCAGAUGACCGUCAUGUUAAUUCGGACCAUGUUUGUGUCACAUUAUCAGCAACCAUGUGUUUAUGGUUCAUGCUAUCUGCAACUAAACUUGAUAUAUAACCAGGUGAACUUCAAUCAAAAUUCUGGAAGUACUCUUGUGAUAGAUGGUGCCUGUCUGCAGAGUCCAUCAAUUGAAAAAUGGAGUGAGUGUAUCUAUAAGAGGGAAGGCUUGGCAAAUGUUCAGUUUUCUGGGAAUUCAACAAGGAUCUAAAAUAGAUUGUUUUCUUUGCCGACUUCAAUGGUUGAAAUUUGAGAAGAUUGUGUCCACAUAUCACAACUAUUACUGGUCCUUCUGUUGCAAUUUAUCCUGUAAGGCUCUAACAUGUCUUCCAAUUCCCACUUCCCUGUUACUCCAGGAAAGCUAUUUCUGUCAUUGUGAAGAAGAAAAGAGAAUGUACAUAUCGAUGCUUUUAAGUGACUGGAGCAUUCAUAUCAGGUGGUCUGCAGCCAUAUAUGCCACUUUGUGAAGGUUGGAACAGUCAAUCACUAGGCUAUAUAUUGGUGUGGCCCAGCCACUUCAAUCAAGGACAAGUCUUCAUACUUAAAGUCAAAUUCUGCCUUUAGUCUCAUUAUAAAUUGCUGUUUAAAUAUUAAGCAAACUUUUGUUUAAUGCGAUUAAGACAGUACUAACUCAAUACUUGUUCUAUUUUUGGAUGCAAAUGCUUGAUGGUUUCAUCAUUGGAUGGGAUAAAGGUGCAUUCAUGAUUAUGAAUACUUGUAGUUAUAUUUUCAUUCUCUUUUUUCUCAAUGAGACUUGUUGGCACAAUGUUGCUGUUCAGAAACCUACCUCUCCAUGGAAAAUAAGUUGCGAUUGAUAGUACUGGAUAUGUUCAAGAAAGCUAAAUAUAGAUAGCACAAAAUAUUAUCGAUAUAAAUAGCAUUAACAGCGUACGUAUGUCUCAAUGCUCAUCAGCUAUAAGCAUGGGACAAACACUUACUAUGAGCAACUUACGUCAAAAUUCCAGAAUAGGACAUAGAAGUGACAGAUCUAUAUAUAUAGAACACUGCAUAUGAGUCACAAGAAAGGAAAUUACGGGUGCAUAGCAGCUCUUAUUUUACAUACUACUACUCAUACUGAUCAAAGUCACUCAGUUGGGAUGGGUGGGAGUAGGAGGUUUGUGGGGUGGCUUGUGCGGAGGAGUUGGCAGCUUCUUUCCAGGACCUGGUUGCUUCUCUGCUGGAGUUGAAGGAGGCUUAAUCUUCCGAGGUGGCUUGUAUGAGUCUUCAGCAUUCUCAGCUGGAGGGUGACCAGGGUUGUGACCAUAAUGUGGUGGCUUCUCUCCCUUAGGUGGUUUGCCAACUGGGGUUGGUGGCUUGUAUGAGUCUUCAGCAUUCUCAGCAGGAGGGUGACCAGGGUUGUGACCAUAAUGUGGUGGCUUCUCUCCCUUAGGUGGUUUGCCAACUGGGGUUGGUGGCUUGUGUUCUGGGAGUGGCUUCUCCCCCUUGGGAGGUUUUUCCAAUGGGGUUGGUUUGUGUUCAGGAGGUGGCUUCUCCACUGGAGGCUUGUGUUCAGGAGGUGGCUUCUCCACCGGUGGCUUGUGUUCAGGAGGUGGCUUCUCCACCGGAGGCUUAUGCUCUGGUGGUGGCUUCUCCACCGGAGGCUUAUGCUCUGGUGGUGGCUUCUUGAAUGGGGGAUGCUGAGGGUAAUCAGCAAGUGAGGGGGCGGUGAGAACCACCAGGCCAAGCAACACCACUAGCAAAUAUGUAGGAGACAUCUUUGGGUUUGGGCUCAGAUGGUGCAAAACUAGGAGAAUUGGCUAGCCUUUUAUAGCGGAUCGUACUCAAUAAUGAAAUGACACGUGUCAUUAUGACCCAUGUGUAAUGGGGUCGAUUUGGGUCCUACAGUGUUGAAAACUUCGACAUCCAGUUUUGGCCUUUUGCUUUCUCUACAGCCGCCUUGCUUUUUCCCUCUUUCCUUUUGUUUUCCUCCUGCCCCAUUCUAUCAACUAAACACAAUUAUGUAGUUGUUUAAUUCUUAAAUGAGAUAUUAUCGGUCAAUCGUAUUAUAUUUUAUCAAGAGAGAACGGAGUGCAAUGCAGCUGUAAUUUUAUCGUUUACUUUUAUCUCUUGGACCACUGCAUUUUUGUUAAGAGGUGCAAUAAUACACGUCUUUAUCUGCCAUUCAAUGUUUACAGUAAAGAGAGGGCACAAAACUCUUCACUGCUCUGCAUGUGUCCCAAAAAUGCGAUUGGACAAAUUAUGAUUUGCAUGCUAAAAAGAGGCAAAUGAGGUUAAUUCGCACCAUAAUUAUUUGGUUUUCUGGACACCAUAAAAAGAUGUUAUACAGGCAGGGAAAAACCUUCAGAGUUAGCUACCAAAGAUAAUUAUCAAGCAGAUAUCACCAAGAGAAUUCCAUAGAGUCUGAAUCAAAGACAGAUUGCUCGCUCGUGGGGGUUCUUACUUUCUUUUGGGUAUAACUCACUGAGGUCACUGUCUUUUUUAUUUGCAUUUCACAGUUAGAGUUCUGCUCUGGAAGGUUUGUUCUGGAAACAUAUAAAAGGAGCAUCAUUUUGUUCUUGGGUAACCCAUAGUCGUGAGUGGGUCCAUUUGCAUGCUACUUAGUUGAAAAGUUGGACAAUUUGCUCCGACGCCUACCUCCUGGAUUCCAUGCUCGGUAAAACAAGAAUAAAAAAAAAUAUAUAAUUUACAAAUGGGGGAAAGAAAAAAUGUCGGAAAAAAUAGUAAAAUUCAUGUCACAUGCUAGUGAGAGAAGGGGUUGUUACACUCACUCGAAGUUCUUUUCAAAAUAUCGAAUGGUAUUUUACUUUAUGUGUCAGCGCAGUUGUGAAUGGAACGUGCAAAAGUCCAAAUUGGCGUUUUUAUUUUUCCCAUGUAGGAUGGUGACCUUUAAUAAAUAUUUAAAACAAAAGACGAAAAAAAAAAGGAGGGAAAAGGGAUCACAAAAGAUAAAAUAAUGUUUACAAAAGCUCAAUUAGUUUGCAAAUUACUGUUUGGAUUUUGAUAGUAUUUUAUUUGUCGUUCUAUAUUUGAUGUAAAAGAGAAUUUAAGAUAUUUCCGAAGCAAAAGCAUUAGUUUGCUCUGUGAUGUCCCACAUCGAAUAGGGGAGAAAGUUUCUGGCGCUAUAUAUGUAGAGGCUCCUCUUAACCAAGUAGAUGCGUUUUAAAACCAUGAGGGCCCCCUUAGGUCCAAAGCGGACAAUAUCUACAUGAUUGGGUGUAAGUCAUUACAAAUGGUAUCAGAGCCGAUCCCCGACCCCGGUGUGGGGGUUUGUUUGGCCCUGUAAGGGGUGUUUGUCUGUUUGACCCCACAAUCCCAUGGGACACAACGAGGACGUUGUGUCUGCAUGGGGGGGCGUUUGUGAUGUCCCACAUCGGAUAGGGGAGAAAGUUCCUAGUGCUAUAUAUGUAGAUGUUUCUCUUAACCAAGUAGAUGCAUUUUAAAAUUGUGAGGGCCUCUUUGGGCCCAAAGCGGACAAUAUCUACAUGGUUGAGUGUAAGUCAUUACAUGCUCCAUGUCAAUUUCAGCAUUUCUCAUAUGUUUCACACAUACACAGAAGAGCAUCGUUUUUUAAAGCAUGCAUUUAUGUUGGAUUAAUUUGGAUUUUGUGGGAACUGGGGCAAGGAUCACAUGGAAGAGAGGUUGACUUUUUUCAGUACUUCAAUGGUUGAAAUAUGUGAAGGCUUGAUUGAUACUAAAGCUUGAAAUUGCGACUCUGUCAUUUGUAAAAAAAUAUGACAGCUUCCAUGCUCUCGUUUGGUUGCAUUGUCCGGUCGAGAGGUGCAAAAAGCAUUCUCUCUCUUCUAAUAGUCUUUUCGUUUAAAUCAAGGGAUUUGCCUUCCCGGUCGAGGUCCAAUAGAGGGUAACGGUCACCUACUAAACAUUAAAUGCUCCAACAACUAGUGAACUGAUCGACCCCAGCUCGACUAGUUGAGGUUACUUUUUGGUUUUCUUGUCUCCCGAGGUUAGAAACCUAUAAAUAGAGAGCUUCACUUCAUUUAUGAGUAAGAGAACACCUAAAUUUAUUUGUUUACCUACUUGUUUUUGCCAUAAAAGCUCUCAUUUCUUUUCUUGGUGUAUUAAAUCUCCAUUUGCAUAUCCUUUAGUGCACCUUUGUGAUUCAUUCUAGCCUUGAGUUGUAUUUAAGCCUUUGUUGAGCUAGGUUGAGAGUUUCAUACUUGUUUAUUGAGUGUUAAAGCCUUCAAGUGAGUUAAAACUUGAAGAGAUUGUGUAAGAGCCCAUUGGAGUCGGAAUCCAAGUGUAAAGGUGAUUAAAAGCUUGGUUGAAGCUUCAAGUUAGUGGAACUCUCACUCGGUUAUGAGCUUGAGAAGAGUGGACAUAGACAAGGCAGUGUCGAACCACUAUAAAAUCUGAGUUUGAUUUCUCUAACCUUAUCUCUUUAUAUUUGCUUCUCUUGUGCUUAAAUUUUUUGUGUUUAAAAAGAAUUUUUAAAAACUCAAUUCACCCCCUUCUUGGGAGUUUUUCUCUUUUAAGAUCAGCUUUUAUUUUCUCAAUUGGUAUCAGAACUAUGCCUCUUGUUUAAGACUUAAUCGUCUAAGAGGAAAUGGCUAAUCCAUCAAGUUCAUCUCACAUUGAAAGUUUUGCAACCAAUAGACUUCUUUUUUUUUUUUUGCGGGAACUGAUUAUCCCUAUUGGAAAACUAAAAUGACUUGGUUUUUACAAUCAAUUGAUUUAGAUGUAUGAGAUGCCAUUGAAGAUGACCUAACUUUUCCUUCAAAACUAGUUGAUGGAGUCAUGGUUCCAAAACCUAAGCAAGAAUGGGAUGAGCGUGAUUGAAGAAAUUUUCAAUUAAAUGCUAAAGUCGUUUAUACUUUGCAAUGCUCUAUGGACAGAAAUGAAUAUAAUAGAAUAUGUCAAUGCAAAUCGGUUAAAGAAAUUUGGAGAUUGCUUGAAAUAACUCAUAAAGGAACAAAUCAAGUUAAAGAGUCAAAAAUCAAUUUACUUGUUCAUAGAUAUGAAUUGUUUUUUAUGAAAGAUAAUGAAACUAUUGUUAAGAUGAUCACUAGGUUCACCAACAUUGUUAAUGGUCUUAAAGCCUUGGGAAAGACCUACAAGGAAUCCGAAAACGUGAUGAAGAUCUUGAGGUCACUUCCAUCAAAGUGGCAUACCAAGGUCACCGCAAUUUAAGAAGCAAAAGACUUGAUCAAGCUACCUUUGGAGGAGUUCAUAGGGUCAUUGAUGACAUAUGAAAUCAAUUUGGCAAAGAAGUAACAAAAAGGUGAAGACAAAAAGAAGAAGAACAUAACUCUCAAAGCUACAACUAAGGAAGAAGAAGUUGAAGAAGAAAAACAAAUUGAAGAAGAUGAAGAUUUAGCCCUCAUCACAAGAAAGUUCAACAAAUUCAUGAGGGGUGAAAGGUUUAGAAGAAGAAGGUUCACUUCUAGAAGAGACUUUUCUAAAAAGGAAUCUUCAUCUAAUGGUGACAAAAAGAGAUGGGAAGAGAAAAGAGACUUGGUGUGUUUCAAGUGCAAGAAACCGGGACACAUUAAAUAUGAUUGUCCUCUCUACAAAAGUGAAGUCAAGAGGAAAAAGAAUAAGGCAAUGAUGGCCACUUAGAGUGAAAGUGAAGAUGAAUCAUCCGAAGAAGAAAAUGAGAAAGAAGUGGCAAACAUGUGUUUCAUGGCAAUAGAUGAACUUGAUGAGGUAAAAUCUAACCUUAGUGAUUAAGAUAUACAUGAUGCAUUUGAAGAAUUGUAUGAGGAUUUUUAAAAACUUAGUUUGAAAAAUAUUUCUCUUAAAAAGAAAGUUCAACAACUUGACAAAGAACUUAGAGAAGUAAAAGAAAAAUUUUCAAAUGUUAAAGUUUCUAAAACUCAUCUUGAAAAAGAAAAUGAGAUUCUAAGAAAGAAAAAUGAAUAGUUGAACUCCUCUCUUUCAAUCUUUUCUUCUAGACAAAAAUCUUUUGAAAUGAUUCUAACUAGCUAAAAAUGUGUUUUUGACAAACAAGGGUUAAGAUUUAAAUCUUCAAAAAAUCAAAAGUAUUUUAAAAACUAUUUUGUAAAGGAAUCCACAAGUGCAAGUCCUUCCACUACUUGCAACUUUUGUGGAAGAGAAUGGCACAUUAGUAGUACGCCCUUUAAGAAAUGGUUCUCAAAAGAAUUUAAAUGCAAAAACUAAAAAAGAUUUGGAUUGAGAAAUCCAAGGUCACUAACCCUCAAGGACCCAAAAAGAUAUAGGUACCUAAAUCAACUUGAGUUUUAUGUUGUAAGGUUCAAAGAAUGAUAAGUGGUUCUUAGAUAAUGGUUGCUCAAGACACAUGACCGGAGAUGAAUCCAAGUUUGCUUUUCUUAAAAAGAAAAAUGGAGGAUAUGUUACCUUUGGAGACAAUGCAAAAGAAAGGAUGAUUGGUCAAGGCAACAUUGGUAAUGGCACAUCCUCUCUCAUUGAAAGUGUUUUAUUAGUAGAUGGUUUCAAACAUAACCUUUUAAGCAUUAGUCAAUUUUGCGACAAAGGUUUUUAAGUGAUUUUUUAAGCAUCUCAUUGCAUCAUCAAGGAUAUUCAAAAUGAUAAAACCAUUUUCAUGGGCCAUAGAUGUGAUAAUGUUUAUGCUAUAAAUAUUUCAAAAUAUGAUGGCCAUGAUAGAUGUUUUUCAAGCAUGCAUGAUCAAAGUUGGUUGUGCCAUAGGAGAUUGAGACAUGCUAACAUAGACCUCAUUUCCCAACUCAACAAAGAUGAACUUGUUAGAGGCCUUCCCAAAAUAAUUUUUUAAAAAGAUAAAGUUUGUGAAGCUUGUCAAGUGGGAAAGUAAAUCAAAAACUCUUUUAAAAACAAAAACUUCAUUUCCACAUCUAGGCCACUUGAGUUGUUGCAUAUGGAUUUAUUUGGUCCCUCUAGGACACCAAGUCUUAGAGGAAAUUCUUAUGCAUAUGCUAUUGUGGACGACUUCUCUAGAUACACAUGAGUCUUGUUUUUUAGUCAAAAGAAUAAAGUUUUUUAUGAGUUUUCAAAGUUUUGCAAUAAGAUUCAAAAUGAAAAAGGUUUUUCAAUUACUUAUAUAAGAAGUGAUCAUGGGAGAGAAUUCGAAAAUAUUGAUUUUGAAGAGUAUUGCAAUGAGCAUGGAAUUGACCACAAUUUUUUGGCUCUUAGAACUCCUCAACAAAAUGGGGUAGUUGAAAGGAAAAAUAGAACUCUUCAAAAAAUGACAAGAACCAUACUAAAUGAAAACAACUUACCAAAAUAUUUUUAGGCCAAAACGGUUAACACUUCUUGUUAUGUUUUAAAUAGAGUAUUAUUGAGGCUCAUACUUAAGAAAACUCCCUAUGAGCUUUGGAAAAACAAAAAACCCAACAUUAGUUAUUCCAAAGUCUUUGGAUGCAAUAUUUUAUAAUAAACACCAAAGACAAUCUUGGAAAAUUUGAUGCAAAAUUGGAUGUUGGAAUUUUCCUUGGUUACUCAACUUCAAGUAAAGCUUUUCGAGUUUUAACAAAAGAACCAUGGUUGUAGAGGAGUCCAUCCAUGUUAUUUUUUAUGAAUCUCCAAGAAAGAGAGAGGAUUGAUGAUGAUUUAGGUUUGAAGACCUCUAUAGGAAGAUUGCAAAUCGAAGAUAGAAGACAACAAGAAGAAAAUGGAGAGAAUCCAAAGAAAGAAGGAUCACCAUUGGCACUACCCCCUCAUCAACAAGCGCAAGGUGAAUCAAGUCAAGAGCUUCCUAAAGAAUGGAAGUUUGUCAUCAAUCACCCACAAGAUCAAAUUAUAGGCAAUCCAUCUAGUGGGGUAAGAACUAGAUCCUCUCUUAGAAAUAUUUGCAAUAAUCUAGCUUUUAUCUCUCAAAUUGAGCCUAAAAAUAUAAAUGAUGUUUUAGAUGAUGAAAAUUGGAUAAUUGCAAUGCAAGAAGAGUUAAAUCCAUUUGAAAGAAGUGGAGUAUGGGAAUUAGUACCAAGACCUUCAAAUCAAAGUGUUAUUGGAACUAGAUGGAUCUUUAGAAAUAAAAUGGAUGAAAAUAGCAUAAUUGUUAGAAAUAAAGCAAGAUUGGUAGCCCAAGGUUUUAAUCAAGAAGAAAUGAUAGAUUAUGAAGAAACCUUUGCCCCCGUAGCUAGGUUGGAAGCCAUUAGGAUGCUACUUGCCUUUGCAUGUUUUAAAGACUUUGUUUUAUAUCAAAUGGAUGUGAAAAGUGCUUUUUUAAAUGGUUUUAUAAAUGAAGAAGUAUAUGUUGAACAACCACCCGGUUUUCAAAGUUUCAACUUUCCUAACCAUGUUUUUAAACUUAAAAAGACACUUUAUGGUUUGAAACAAGCACCUAGAUCAUGGUAUGAAAAAUUGAGUAAAUUUCUUUUGAAAAAAAUGUUUUAAAAUGGGAAAAAUUGACACAACUCUUUUUAUAAAAACCAAAGAAAAUGAUAUGCUCUUAGUUCAAAUAUAUAUUGAUGAUAUCAUUUUUGGUGCUACUAAUGUCUCUCUUUAUGAAGAAUUUUCUAAGUGCAUGCAUAGUGAGUUUGAAAUGAGCAUGAUAGGAGAACUCAACUUCUUCCUUGGACUUCAAAUCAAGCAACUAAAGGAAUGAACCUUCAUCAAUCAAGCAAAGUAUAUAAGAGAUCUUCUCAAAAGGUUCAACAUGGAAGAAGCCAAAACAAUGAAGACUCUAAUGAGCUCAUCCAUUAAGCUUGAUAAGGAUGAGAAAGGUAAAUCCAUUGACUCUAUUAUGUAUAGAGGCAUGAUAGGUUCUUUGCUCUAUUUGACCACUAGUAGACCUUACAUUAUGUAUAGUGUGUGUUUGUGUACUAGAUUUCAAUCUUGUCUUAAAAAAUCUCACUUAAGUGUCGUGAAAAGAAUCCUCAAAUAUUUGAAAGGGACAAUGGACAUAGGCUUAUGGUAUCCUAAGAGUGAUAACUUUGAAUUAAUUGGUUUUUUGGAUGCUGAUUUUGUCAGUUGUAGGGUUGAAAAAUAAAACACUAGUGGCACUUUUCAUUUCUUAAGACACUUACUUGUCUCAUGGCAUAAUAAGAAGCAAAAUUUGGUAGCUUUGUCAACAGCAGAAGCUAAAUACAUAGCAACUGGUUUAUGUUGUGCACAAAUCCUUUGGAUGAAAUAAACACUUAGUGAUUUUGAUUUAUCUUUUGAGCAUAUUCCUAUUAAAUGUGAUAAUAGUAGUGCCAUAAGUAUAUCAAAAAAUCUCGUGCAACACUCUAGGACUAAGCAUAUAGAGAUUAGACAUAAUUUUCUUAGAUAUCAUACACAAAAGGAUGAUAUAACACUUGAAUUUGUAAGCAUAAAAGACCAACUUGCCGAUAUCUUUACAAAACCUCUAAGAACAUUUUGUUGAUAUUAGAGGACAAUUAGGAGUGAUUUCUUUAUGAUCUAAUGUGAUGAAUUCUUGAUGAAUAUACUUUUUGAUUGCAUGAAUUUCAUGUCAUAUAUGCAUCAUAUAGAAAUAUACUUAGAUAAUGGUCAAAUUUCGACCAAAAAUCAAAAUUCCCAUGGCAUUAGGCAUAAAAAUUUUGGAAUUUCAACUGAAAAUGGUAGGAGGAGGAUCACAAAAUGAGAAAGUAUGCAAAAAUUGAAAAAUCAAAACGUUGACCAAGCGGUCAAUCGGACUAGACCGAUCGACUAGUUUGUCGAGAUUUAGGAUUUUUAAGAGACUCCAACGCUUCAAUUUUUGCACCGUUCUCCUCUAUUUCUUCACGGUUUCUCUGAUUUUGUCUUUUAGAGACUAAUUUGAGUGCGUUUUGGAUCAAUUGAAGCAUUUUGGAUUGGAUUUUAGGAAGAUUGAAAGUUAAGGUUUCGGAUUUGGGUCGCCUUCUCUUCCUCUCGCGUGUCACAAUCAGCUUUAGCAUUGUUCUCUUUCCAUUUUCACACACCUAGGGUUUCAGUUGUGAGCAUCUCUCUCUCUUUACCAACCACUACUCCCUUGCUUCUUCCAUAUGGCUCCUAGGCGAGAGUCCGCUACUUCUAGGGCACAAGGCAAGCACCCAACUGAGUCGUCUCAGUCAAAGGCACGUCGAAAAGUGAGAUUUGACAUUGCCUUGUUCAGUUCCAUGGAGGACUACCAACUAUACAAGCAACACUUUGCUUAGAGACGAGUAGUUCCCAAGAGAAAUAUUAAUUUUCCUCAACUUCAGCAUUUCGAAUUUAAGGGUCUAUUUACUAGGAUGGUUGGUUGUCUAUUGUCACAAUUUCGGAGCCGGUUUUCCUGACCUUAGUGCGAGUUUUUUACUCGAGGGCGACUUAUGGCAUGGGUGGCAUGAUCAUUUCUACUGUUGGAGGAGUUGAGAUCUGUCUGGACCCAGAGAGCAUCUGCCAUAUUUUCGAUAUUGCUCUGGUUGGACUCAAAGUAUACAAGUCCAAAAUGUGGCCCAUUGUGCCAGGAUUUGAGCUUAGAGAGGUCAUUCAGAGGAUUUGUGAACUUCCAGACGCCCAGGAGAUGGGCAAACCAUUGCCACACAGUUUGACGGUCAUCAACAGGGUGCUACACCAUAUAUUGUGCUCUAUCUUUCUACCACGAAGUGGACAUUGAGAUGAGGUCUCUUAUUAUGAGGCAUUCCUUAUUGACUCCAUUCUAACGGAGAGACGAAUUCAUCUACUAUGUCAUCAUUCACUAAGCCUCCUCACAGUGACAUACCACCUCAUCAGGCACCUCUUGCUCCUGACCAUGCUCCAUUGAUGGAUUUAUUUACUCAUAUUAGCUCUCUAGGCACUCGCAUGAAGGAGUUUGUUGUAGUUAGUGAUACAUGGUUCUACUCCAUAGAGGAUCGCAUGGAUCAGUAUCAGACUGGCUUCACGUCACAGUUUGAGUAUCUCCAAUAGAGGAUUGAGCAUAUUGAGGAUCACUUGAGCAUGAGAAGAUGAUGGCUUUUCUAUGCUCUGUGUUUCCACCUCCACCUCGUCAACCUUGAUUUCUUAGAGACCCAUUGUUUUCAUUUUGUAAUGUUGCCAAAAGGGGGAGAUAUUUAGGAUCUAGGACUCUAUAGGAGACUUACAUGCAUAUCAUUUUCAUAUCAUUGUUUGGAUCGUACAUAUUGGAUAGUGAUACUUUUUACUUAUAUAUGAUAUGCCUAUAUGUUUCAUGUCUUACAUUGUUUCUUAUUGCAAAUUAUCUCUAACAUGUCUUGAUUAUCUUUUUUUUAACUUCAUAAAUUUUGAUUGUUAACCCAUGAUUGGUUUGAGGGGAAGAUUCUUCUUCUCCUAGAUAACCAAGGUUUGUCAUCAUAAAAAAAUUGGAGAUUGUUAGCCCAAGGGUUCUCCUAAUCAUGUUUUGAUGAUAACAAACCAUGCUUAAGUUACUAAUUGGUUUGAAUUAUAAAGAAUUUCAAGUGUUAAUUUGAAAAUUCAUCAAAGAACCUAAUGGAUGCAAGAUCAAGAUUUUUGGAAGACCUUUAAUCAUAAGAAACAUAUGUAAGAUGAAUGCAUGGGUGCACUUAAGAUUUGCAUAUCAUUUCAUGCAUAUUUGGAAAACACGGUUUAUGCUUUAAAGUUACAUUUCCAUCAAAAUUUGAGAUCCAUCAAAUGAACCUUAGGAAAAAUGUUUUAAAAUUGGCAUAUAAUUUUACCUAAAGACCUUGCCUAAGUGUUAGAAGCAAAAGGACAAAAAAAAUAUAGGUUUUCUGGUCAAAAAUGGUGAACCAGUCAAGGCAUUGUCUAAAUCAGCUCAAUCGGCCAAGGUACCGGUCGAUCGGUUUCCCUUUCCCUGUCGAGAUCUAGUCAAGAGGUACAAAAAUCACAAUCUCUGUCUCUUUCUCUCUUUGUCUAUCUUCCAGUAGUCUUUCCUUCCCGGUCGAGGGAUUUGCCUUCCCGAUUGAGGUCCGAUUGAGAGUAAUAGUCACUUGCCAAAUAUUAAAUGCUCCAACAGUUAGUGAACUGGUCGACCCCCACCUUGCCCAGUUGAGGUUACUUUUUGGUUUUCUUGGCUCCCGAUGUUAGAAACCUAUAAAUAGAGAGUUCCACUUCAUUUAUGAGCAAGAGAACACUUGCAUUUAUUUGUUUACCUACUUGUUCUUGCCUUAAAAGCUCUCAUUUCUUUUCUUGGUGCAUUAAAUCUCCAUUUUGAUAUCCUUUAGUGCACCUUUGUGAUUCAUCUUAGCCUUGAGUUGUAUUUGAGCCCUUUUUUUAGCUAGGUUGAGAGUUUCAUACUUGUUAAUUGAGUGUUAAAGCCUUCAAGUGAGUUGAAACUUGUAGAGAUUAUGUGAGAGUCGAUUGGAGCCGAAAUCCAAGUGUAAAGGUGAUUAGAAGCUUGGUUGAAGCUUCAAGUUAGUGGAAUCCUCACUCAAUUAGGAGCUUGAGGAGAGUGGACGUAGCCAAGGAAGUGUCGAACCACUAUAAAAUUUGAGUUUGAUUUCUCUAACAUUGUCUCUUUAUAUUUGUUUAUCUUGUGCUUAAAUUUAUUGUGUUUAAAAAGAAUUUUUAAAUACCCAAUUCACCCCCCUCUUGGGUGUUUUUCUCUUUUAAAAUUAGCCUUUAUUUUCUCACAAACUAUUGUAGUAUAGUGGUUUUUAGGUGUCAUCCAUUAGGAUGAAUUGUUCUCGGUAAUUAAGGCGUGAAUGAGAGGAGAAUUAAUGAUUGUGAUUAAGUAAAAUUGAUUUGAAAAUUCAUGGUGAAAAAUCAAUUUAACAAUGGUUUCUAAUUGAGAAAAACAAUGAAAUGUGAAAUAAAAUAAAAUUAAUAGGAAAUGAAAUUCUCGAAGUUAGAAUUUUCUAAAAAACAAAUUCCAUGGUGAAUGGAUGUUGAGAUCUAAUUUUCAUCAAGUUAGAUUGAAAACCGAAAUUUUCAUAUAAACUGAUUUUUUAUUUAGUUUUAGGUCUAGAUUUAAUUUCCCUUAAAAUUAGGUUAUUUAAUCCAAGAAAUCAAUUCAAAUCAUAUAUUCAAUUCAUCUUAAAUUAUCUUCCAAUUAUUCACACAAUGCAACUAUUCAAUCUCAUCAAAUCUAGCUUUUAAGAAUUUAAUGAAUCUACCUAGUUUGCAUUGUAAUAGUCAUCCAUGACAAUUUGAAGAGAAAAAUAAUUCAAUUAAUCAAUCACUUGGAUCAAAUUACCUUUGCAAUUAAAGUUCAUUUCUCUAAUUCACCACAGAUUUUGUCUCUAGAUCCUCCUUUCUCAAAGAAAAAUGAGAUUUAGCCACACAUGAUUGGAGAUUUGGUCUCAUAAGGCAUGUUUAGCUAGUGAUAAAAUGAGAGAAAAUAAAGAAAAAUAGAGAAUUCGAUUAAGAAAGAAAAUCUAAAAAAUUCUACAAUUAGAAAUGUCCAAAAAGCUUUUUCAUGAGAAAAUCAAGUUUCUAUUUAUAGGCCAAGGUCAAGUGGACACUUGACAUCAUCUAAGAGGUCUUCCGGAAGCUUCUUCAUCAAGAAAUCUGGAGUUUAAUAAUAAAAUGGUCAUUUCACAAGAGCUCAAACAAUUUCGCAUGAUUAUGUGAAAUAAAAAAUGCAACAACAGCAAUUUACAUCUUCUUGGAGCAUUUCGCAUGACUGUGUGAAAUUUUCACAUGAUCAUGUGGAAUCGACUUGACAACUCUCAUUUAGCCUACAACAUAAUUCCACCUUUUGGUCCAUUUUUCAUAGUCAUGCGAAAUGGAAAUAUUUGAUUUUUAAGUUUUCUUUUGUCAUUUCUUUCAUUUCCUUCUCUUGAUUCCACUUCAACUACCUCCGAAUCCUGGUCCAAACCAAUUGCAUUACUUCUUUCAUUAUGCAUUUGGAUCAUCAUCAACAUUAUUUGUUCUCUUCAAUUUGAUUCAUCUCUUUUGUCACCAAUUUAUCAAAAUCAUACCUUGAAAUGACUCCAAAACUUCAUAAAACUUGUUAGUAACUCUUGCAAGGGCAACAACAUAUUAAUUAAGUGUUUUAGGCAUAGUUACUACUCAAAAGAUGCGAAACUCAUGAUAAUUAUUAUAUAAAAUAUGCUCUUUUUGAGUAGUAAUCAACUUUCUUGCAUAAGCAGACCUUUUAGGGUGGAGUACUAAAGACCAAUAUGCUUGUCCUUGUUGUAAUAAAGAAACUUGCUCUUAUUGAUUGCACCAUGGGAGAAAAUUUUGCUACAUGAGUUAUCAUCAAUUUCUUCCCACCAAUCAUAGAUUUAGACGUGACAAGAGGCCUCUUAAUGGCAAGGAGGAACUGACACUCACACUUAUACAAUUAUCGGGCAUUGAUGUGUUGCAACAAUUAGAAUAACUUACACCAAUUAUGUUGGGGAAGUCACAAAAGGCAAACAUGAAAACUAAAAGGAAAAAAGAAAAAUGUUACAUAUCACCACAACUGGAAAGAAAAAAGUAUUUACUUUCAUUUGCCAUAUUGGAAAGCACUUAUUUUACAUCAUAAUAAUUUAGACAUAAUGCAUAUUGAGAAAAAUGUGUGACAAUAUAAUUGAGACAUUGUUCAGUAUUGACGAAGAAACAAGGACAACCUAAAUAGUCAUCUCGAUUUACAAGCUCUAACUAUUAGAAAUGAGAUUCACCCAAUAGAAAGCAGGACCAAAUUUAUUUUGCUUGCAACAUGCUACUCACUCACCCCAAAUGAGAUUAAGGAAUUUUGCAAGUUUUUGAAAUCAAUAAAGGUCCCCAAUGGCUAUUCUUUCAAUAUCUCUCGUUAUGUGCAACUCAAUGAAAGGAAGAUAUAUGAGCUCAAAUUGUAUGAUUGUCAUGUCCUAAUGCAACAACUUCUCUCACUUGUAGUUCGUGGAGUUCUACAUAAGAAUGUUUGUGGAGUUAUCAUAGAAUUGCGUAAUUUUUUCAAGCAAUUGUGCUCAAAGGUGUUAGAAACAAAUCACUUACACCAACUUGAGAACAAUAUUAUUGUCAUACUAUGUAAAAUGGAGCAAAUAUUUCUUCCAUCAUUCUUUGAUAUUAUGGUGCAUUUACUUGUGCAUCUAGUAAGGCAAAGGUUGCAAGACUUGUGCAAUAUUGUUGGAUGUACCUAAUUGAACGAUAUUGUUAUAAUUUCAUAUGAAUCAUUUAAUUUUAUUUUAUAUUAUGUUCAGUUCAUUAACAUGUACAUUGGUCUACAUAUGGAUGAUGAUAGGUACCUAAGCACUUUAAAGUCAUAUGUGCGUAAUAGAACUUUUCUAGAAGGUUCUAUUGUAGAAAGGUACCUUGCAAAAGAAUGUACAACAUUUUAUUCUAGGUACUUGAAUGAUGUGGAAAUAAAGUAUAAUCACAAUGAUAGAAACUUUGUUGGUUUCAACACUAGAGGAGAUGAAAGGGGUUAUCUUUAAACAUAUUGGACAUGCAUUGGGAAAGCCCAUAUUUCAUUAACUUAGUUCAAAAGAGUGGUCACAAGCACAUUUAUAUGUGUUGACAAAUUGCGAAGAUGUCAUACCAUUCAUUGAGUAAAAAAUUUAUUUGAAUUUUAAUUAAAGCUCUAGUUUAUAUCCUUAAUCAAUGUUUUUUAAAUUCACAAGGAGCACAAGCAAACCAUCAAGGCUAGACCACAUAUACGUGUUUGAGACGUAGAUUUAAUUCAUAACAAGGAAUUUAUCAAGUGGUUUGAAAGACAUGUAAGUAUAUUCCUUAUUAUAAGGGAUUUAUUUCACAUUAUGUUUAUAUUGAAUCCAAACCUAUUAUUGAAUUGUAGGUUGAACAAUUACAUAAUGAAGGUCAUAUAUCUGAACACCUUCUCACAUUAUCAUGUGUUCCAAAUUCAUUAGUUACAUGCUUCAAAUGAUAUAUUGUCAAUGGAUUUAGAUCCCACAUUAAAGAACGUGAUAAAAAAGUUUUUAAAAAAAGACUCAGAAUAAUGGAAUUGUUGUAGUUGCAAAAACGUCAAGCUUUACAAGUGCAUGUGAUAUGAGUCCAAUUAUUAGUGAUGCUCUCUACUAUGGUGUUCUAACUAAAGUUGUUGAGUUACAUUAUCUUGGUGAAAAUAAGGUUGUUUUAUUCGAGUUUGAUUGGUGGGAUGUUACAAAUAUUGGAAAAUUGAUAAAAGAUGAUGAGUACAAUUACACAUUUGUUAACUUUGCAUGAAUUCUAACCACGAACGAACGAUUUGUACUUGCAUCUCCAGCAAAGUAAGUGUUCUAUGUGAAGAAUGCGAAUGAAUCAGAUUGGCAUACUAUCAUGGAGAUGCAACCUCAAGACCUCUAUAAGAUGAACGGGAUAGGAUCCAAUGGUGAUUUUGAACCAUUUCAACAAAGUGAACUACAUGAUCACUAAUAUAUCUCAGAUUUAGUUGAUGAAGAUAUAAUCAAGUGGAACAAAAGUGAUGUUUUAGGACUAAUCAUCCUAAAAAAUAUUGUAGUUUCUUAAAAAAAAAAUGAAAAUGAAGAAGAUAAUUGAACCUUUGUCAUACUUUAAAAAGCAACUAUGCAUUGUUCAUUUUGUAUGUUUUGGUUUUCUUCAUUUAAUUUCCUGAUUUUUGUGAUUCAAUGUCAUAUUAUUGAUCUUGAAAUAUUUUUCUAAUUUUUCAUUCUACGAUGGUUUCAACAAGGAUGACAUCAAGUCAAAAAAGGAAAUGUGGUCCCACACACAAUAUUGCAUUACAGGGAUUAAGGUCAGGGAAGAAGGUAAAAGUUGCAUUUAAUGAGUACAAUCAAUUGGUUAAACAGAAAAAUGGAAAACACUUAUCGAGCUACAUAGGGACACUUGUAUCUAACCAACACAAUGUACCUCUCCAAGCUAGUGAUUGGAAAAAUGUUCCAAAUGAUGCAAAAGAGAAAGUAUGGCCUUUGUUUUGGUAUGUUGUAUUUCUCACUAUAUGAUGUCAUUUCACUGUUAUUCUAUUUUGUGACUAACGUUUGAAUCAUAUGUAAGAAAAAUUUGAAGUAGAUAAAGACUGAAAAGAUUACAUGUUGGGUAUAGCCUCAAAUAAAUAUAGAAGCUAUAAAAAUAUGAUGAAUGCAAAAUACUAUGACCCUUGGCAUAAGGAUGCAUGAGGAGAGGUUAAUACAUAAAUCACCAUUUGUCUCUGAUGUUGAUUGGAAGUGGCUUGUCUCUGAUGCAUAAACCAAAUCCCCCACUGAAUGUUUGAUAUUUGAUAGCAGGAAAAACACACCCGCAGCUAUACACCUCCAUCAUUCAGAUAAUUAUAGUGGGGGAGAUGAUUCAUGGUUGCCCUUAUACCCUUUAUUUGCACCAUCUAUUGAGAUUCUUUAUCAUGGCCAGGUUUUACUGCAGCAAUAAGAUAUGGUGGCAACAAUUUUAUCUAUAGGUGCGGUUCCAGACCGCCUCCAUAGGUGCGGUUCCUGACUGCCUCCAUAGGUGCCUCUUCUUGUAAUGUUUGUUCUGGGAAUUACACUUGAAAGCCUUAUCGUGAUAAGGGAUUACAAACACUAGUUCAGAGGACAGCCAUGUUAAACUUCCACUAUGUUUGUGUCACAUUAUCAGCAGCCUAGUGUUUAUUGGUCAUGCUAUCUGCAACUAAUAUAACCCGGUGAACUUCAAUCUAAAUUCUGAAAGUACUCAUGUGACAGAUGGUGCCUUUCAGCAGAUAUCAUCAAUUUAAAAGUAGUGUGUGUGCCUAUAGGUGGGAAGGCCUUGGCAAAUGUUCAGUAUUCCGGUAAUUCAAGAAGGAUAUAUCUAAAAUAGAUUUUCUUCUUGCCCAUUUCAAUAGUUAAAAUUUGAGAAGAUUGUGUCCACAUCACACAAAUAUUAUUGGUCCUUCUGUUGCAAUUUACCUCUGAACAUGUCUUCCAAUUCCCACGGUCCUGUUACUCCAGGAAAACUAUUUCGGUCAUAUUGAAAAAAAAAAUAUUAAAGAAGGUACACAUGCUUUUAAGUGGACUGGGGCAUUCAUAUCAGGUGGUCUGUAUCCACAUAUGCCACUUCGUGAAAGGUGGAACAGCCUAAUCACUAGGCUAUUUAGUGUGGCCCAGCCACGUUAAUCAAGCACAAGUCUUCAUACUUAAAGUCAAAUGGUGUCUUUAGUCUCAUUACACAUCGCUAUUUGAAGAUUAACUCAUCACUAGUGUAAUGCGAUUAAGACAGUCCUAACUCAAUAUUUGUUCUAGUUUUGGAUGCAAAUGCUUGCUGGUUUCAUCAUUGGAUGGGAUAAAGGUGCAAUCAGGACUAUGAAUACGUGCAGUAAUACUUCAUUCUCUUUUUUCUCAAUGAGACUUCUUGGCACAAUUUUGCUGCUCAGCAACCUACCUUUCCAUGGAAAAUCAGUUGUGACUGAUAGUAAUGGAUAUAUUCUAGAAAGCUAAACAUAGAUAGCAUUCAAUAUUAUCGAUAUAACAUUAACAGCGUAUGUCUCAAUGCUCAUCAGCUACAAGCAAUGGACAAACACUUUGAGUAACUCACAGCAGUCAAAAUUCCUAAACAGGACAGACGUGACAGAUCUAUAUAUAGAACACUGCAUAUGAGUCACAGGAAAAGAUAAUACGGGUACAUAGAAGCUCUUAUUUUACAUAUUACUCAUACUGAUCAAAGUCGCUCAGUUGGGAUGGAUGGGAGAAGGAGGUUUGAGGGGUGGCUUGUGCGGGGAAGUUGGCAGCUUCUUUCCGGGAGCUGGUUGCUUCUUUGCUGGAGUUGAAGGAGGCUUAAUCUUCCGAGGUGGCUUGUAUGAGUCUUCAGCAUUCUCAGCAGGAGGGUGACCAGGGUUGUGACCAUAAUGUGGUGGCUUCUCUCCCUUAGGUGGUUUGCCAACUGGGGUUGGUGGCUUGUUUUCUGGGAGUGGCUUCUCUCCCUUGGGUGGUUUGCCAACUGGGGUUGGUGGCUUGUGUUCUGGGAGUGGCUUCUCCCCCUUGGGAGGUUUUUCGAAUGGGGUGGGUUUGUGUCCUGGUGGUGGCUUCUCUCCCUUGGGAGGUUUACCAAUUGGGGUCGGUGGCUUGUGUUCUGGGAGGGGCUUCUCUCCCUGGGGAGGUUUAGUGGGUGGCUUGUGUUCUGGAGGUGGCUUCUCCACCGGAGGCUUAUGCUCUGGUGGUGGCUUCUCGAAGGGGGGAUGCUCAGGGUAAUCACCAAGUGAGGGGGUGGUGAGAACCACCAUGCCAAGCAACAACACUAGCAAGUAUGUAGUAGACAUCUUUGGGUUUGGACUCAGACAGUGCAAAACUACGAGAAAUCGCUAGCCCUUUAUAGCGGCUCGGACCUAAUACUGACAUAAUAUAAAAUAAAUAUUAUAUUUUAUCAAGAGAGAACAGAGUGUAAUUUUAUCAUUAAUACCGAUCGAGGCCAAAGAAAGAAGACCCAUAAUCCAUUUCCCACAAGCAUACACAAUGCAGCUGUAAUUUUAUCAUUUACUUUUAUCCCUUGGACCACUGCAUUUUUGUUGAGAGACACAAUAACACAUUUUUAUCUGUCAUUCAACAUUUACAGUAAAGAGAGGGCACAAAACGCAAUUAGAUAAAUUAUGUUUUGCCUGCUAAAAAGAGGCAAAUAACUUUAUUUGCAACAUAAUUAUUUUGGUUUCUAGUGACCCCGGGGCCUUUCGGUUGGUUUGGGAUCGGAAAAUGAACAUCAUAGGGGGGGUUGUGCCCUUAUGGGCAUAUAUAUCUGAUAGCUUCAACUGGCCUUGUUCCUAGAAAGAAAUUGCCAAAGAUAUAAACUUAUUCCAGGCUGAAAGUAGAUGAGAGUCAUAAUGAACAUCAACCUUUGUUCAGUUUGAUUCAAUGCCCCCAUAGUGUUCAUUUCACAGAUCUGAAUGAUUAUAUCCGUUGAAUACAUAAAUUAAUGAAGACAAAUAUGAAACCCAAGAUACAUCUCUGCAUAACAACCCCAACCCUGGUUGCUAUGUUUCCCUUCUUCUAUUCACAUGAGGAUACUGGUUAUAAUUGUCAAACUUGCAACAAGCCCUUUGACACCUAACGUCAAUGGACGAAUUAAAAGUCUCCUUCAAACGUCUAUUUCACAGCAUGAAGCUUAUAAAGGAUGCUGACAACCUUCAGAGUUAGCGACAAAAGAUAAUUAUCAAGGAGAGAUAGUUCCAUGAGAAUUCCAAGGAGUCUGAAUCAAAGACAAAUUGCUCACUCAAGGGUUCUUAUUUUCUUUUAGGUACAAAUCUCUUGAGUGUUGUUAAAGAAACACGUCACUGUCAUUUUGAUUUGCAUUUAACAUUUCACUUUUGUUCUGGAAGGUUUGUUCCGGAAACAUAUCAAAUGAGCAUCAUUUUCUUCUUCGGUGACACAUGGUCGCGAGUACGUGGGUCCAUUUUCAUGCCACUUAGUUGAAAAGUUGGAAAGAAAAAACAUGCCAACAAGAAGAUAGUGAGAGAAGGGGCACUUCAAGCCUUUAACAUGAACAAACAGUAAAUAAAAGAUGUUUCUCCACUCAUAAAAGUGUGUUAGAUAGCAAUAUAACGAAUCACAUCCAAAAUCUUUACUAGGCUCAAACAUAAAGAAGACUCAUUUUUAAGAAAAGAUAAAAAUGGCAUUGUCUGAUAGUAUCCAAUACACGAGAUGGCACUUAAUUUGUACAAGAUCUGUCAAUGCUGACGCACAUUUUCUGAUUAAAAAAAAACUGAUCAGUCAAAAGCAAUGAAGAGAAGUGAUGACAAUGAAUGAUGCUUCCAAUAUUUUCACCCCUUAUAGUGUUCUUCAUGAUUCAGAUAUAUAAUUGGAAAUAGAACAACCCUAUGCCAUACAUUCGUCUAAGUAUGGUGUCUAAUUUUUUGUGUCAGCGGUUGCGAAUGGAGCGUGCAAAAGUCCAAAUUGGCGUCUCUCCAUUUCCACAUAGGAAGGUGACCUUUAUUGACAAAUACCCAAUAUUUGUAGACAUUCCUUAAAUAUCAUAACUUCUUGUUGAUUUGAAAAUCAUUUUUCAACUACCAUGUUUUAAUAAAUAUUUUUUAAAAUGUAUUUUUAUCAAAGUCCACCAUGAUGGAUAAUAUUCACCAUGCAAUAAUUAAUAAAGUACAAACUAAGCGAAAUGAAAAGCAUUUUCUUUGCUUUGAGUUGAUUUUGGUUGCAUUGAGUUGAUUUUGGUUUCAUGGUUUUUUCAACUCUUAUUUUGAUUGGAAGAUGUCAAGAAAAGAAAACAUAAAGAAAAAUUAAAAGGGAAAAAAGAAGAAAAAUAAAAAAAAAUAGAUUUAAAAGUUAAUAAAUUAUUUUUUAUAUUUAUUUUAAUUCAUUUCACUUAUUUUUCUUUUACUAUAUAAAAUUUAAAUAAUUUAAAUUUUAUAAUUAAUUUAAUUACAUUUCAUUUUCUUCUAUAUUUAAAUAUUGGAAAAAUAUUUUACUUAAUAUUUUUUUCUUUAAUUUCUUUGGCAUUUUGGGAACCAAACUUAGCCUUUAAAAUAAAAAACAAAAAAAAAAUGAAAAUAAGGAGGGAAAAGUGAGAAAAGAUAAAAACAAUAUGUAAAGGAUUUGAAAAGUAUUAGUUUGUAAUUACUAUUUGGAUUUCAAUAGUAUUUUAUUUGUCUUUCUAUAUUUCAUGUAAGAGAGAAUUUAAGAUAUUCCCCAAGGCAAAGCAUUAGUUACCUGCAAUCAGUGGUGAUAAGGCUCCAAGCCAAUUUUGGGCCCCAUAUCUUAAGACAGUACAAUUUCCAUUUCAACAUUUCUGAUUUCUCAGAUGUUUCACAUACCACAGAAGAACAUUGUUUGUGAAAAUAUGCAUUUAUGUUGGAUUUUGUAUGCUGUGGGGACUGGGGCAAGGAUCAUAUGGAAGAGUGGUUGACUUUUUCUGUACUUUAACGGUUGAAAUAGGAUAAGCACGGGCAUUUGUGAGGCUUAAUUGAUUUUGAAGCCUGAAAUUGCGUUUCUGUCAUUUUGUCAAAAAAAUGGCAGAUUCCAUACUCAUAUGUUUGGCCUGUGGCCAUGUACAGAUGCCAUUUAGUGACCAGUUUGUAACUGUCAAUCGUUGCGUUUUGACUCUGCCUCAACAACAUCUGCCAUUGACGGGUUUUCAUACUUGCAAAUCAAAUAGUCUUUCGUCCCAUCAGGAAUUUCGGUUUAAAUAUUAUUAAGCAUACGUUUGGCUGACAAUCAUUAUCCAGUUCAUGAUUUGGUUUCUUACCCUUAAUCAAUGGUUUCUAAGUGAAUAUAUGUAGAAGGAAAUCCGAAGUGUAGACAGUAGUAUCGAUAACUCUCAAUAUUCUCUAUAUAAUAGAAUAAACAGCGUCAUAGUGAUCGUCGCCUACAAGCAAGGUACAAAUACCAAAACGAGUGACUCACAUAGACAUCUCCCAACAAGAUGUAGUAGUGACUGACACAUGGACACAAUUAACUCGUAGAAAAGGAUAAGACCAUUGCACAGCAGCUCUUAUUUUACAUACUACUUAUGCUAACCAAAGUCAAUUAGUUGGGAUGGGUGGGAGAUGGAGGUUUGUGCGGUGGCUUGUGGGGCGGAGUUGAUGGCUUCUUUCCAGGAGCUUCUGGCUUUUUCAUCGGAGCUGAAGGAGGCUCAAUCUUAUGAGGCGGCUUGUAUGAGUCUUCUUUACUCUCGACAGGAGGGUGGCCAGGGUUGUGAUCAUAAUGUGGUGGCUUCUCUCCCUUAGGUGGCUUGCCAACUGGGGUUGGUGGCUUGUGUUCAGGAAGUGGUUUCUCUCCCAUGGGAGGUUUAGCAAUUGGGGUUGGUGGCUUGUGUUCUGGGAGUGGCUUCUCUCCCUUGGGAGGUUUAGUAGGUGACUUGUGUUCUGGAGGUGGCUUCUCCACCGGAGGCUUGUGCUCCGGUGGUGGCUUCUUGGUUGGAGGGGGCUUGGGGUAAUCAGCAAGAGAUGGGGUGGUGAGAACCACCAGUCCAAGGAACAACACUAGCAAGUAUGUGGGAGACAUUUUUGAGUUUGGGCUGAUCAGAUGAUGCAAAACUAAAGCAUUACGUGACCUUUUAUAGCAUGUAGCUCCCAAUACCCACUAAGUAUUGUGGGGUCCAUUUGUGCCCUACGGGGUUGAAAACUUAGACAAUUGGGCAAGGACCCACCUGACUAUGGAGGACUAGUGAGGUGUGAUCAUAGCUUUAGGAUUUUUCUUCCUCUGCAGCCGUCGUGCCGUUGGCAUGAUUUUCUUAAUCUUAAAUAAAGGCAUAGUUAUAGAGUUGUUUAAUCUCUAAAUGGGAUUUUAUAUAUAUCUUCAGAUAGCCAUUAAUAUAUUUGAUGAAGAAAGAAAGACAAGUGCAUACAACAUGUAUACGACUAGCUUUCAUGGAGUUCAUUUAUGAUCAGUUUUCCUGUACAUGUAAACCAGGAUCAUAUAUAUGUUUCUGUUCCACAACUAUUUUGGAAUCUUGUUUAUCAGUUUUUAUCAUUAUAAUGUCACAUAGGCUGCCAACUUGGGCGCUAAAAGAACCAGUUGGGCUAGUUCGUUUCAGAAUUUCAAUGUGGAUUCAGGAAUUGUUUUGUAAGAUAUGCGAAAUAGUAGAGGGAUGAAUAGUGUUUCAUUAAUAAAAGUGUCCUGUAAAUUAGAAGGUGUCAUAGAAACUAUAAUCAAUAAAUAACUUUUUUUCCCCACGGGUGGUGUUUCUUGUGGGGAUCAGUGACUGGUUUAGGUUCACCCAAAAUGAGUUCAGACUAAAAUUGGUUUGAGUCAAUGCCGUGUCUCUUUUUUCCAGAAAUCAACUAUUUUAUGCAUUGAAUAAAUCAUACAAAGAAAAUAUGAACGCCCGCAAAACCUAAACCCUGGUUGCUAACUUUCUAUGUUUCAGUUCUAUUCACGCAAGAAUAUUAGUUUAAGUUUGGGAAAAAUGGCAACUUACCUAGUGAUUACUUGGUUUUGGUUUGCGACUAUUUACGCAACCAACCAUGAGUUUGACUUUAACGUCAUGGGUUGAAGCCUCCUACAGGAAGGGAGAAAGCUCCACAGCUAGCUCCAAAAGAGAAUUAUCACAUUGAUAGCUCCAGAGAUUCCCAAGGGGACUGAAUCAAAGACAAGUUCCUCACUUUUUCUUCUUUUGAGGCCAAAUAUGAACCAAGGAUCACACAACCUCAUUCAACUUCAUAAGUUUGAUUUCAUGCAGUUGAACACUGGGUGAAGGCCAUGACAAGAAUUGAUUCAAAAAUUCUAUCACUCUUUUAAGUAAUGGAAGAUUAUUAUCUCUGAUUGGCAUCACAACAGCACAUGCUCCUAGAUCUUUCUAGACACUCCAUGCAAUGAAAGCACAAUGGAUCUUGUAACGAUAGAAACUAAGCCAUGCUACAGUACUAGAUGAUGAGGUAAAACUAGUAGACACGGGUGGCAGCCUAUAUGGGAGGGACACAAGUCUAAUUGAUUUGCAUUUCAGCAUUAUAGAUAGGUAUGUUUUGGAAGAUUUGUUCUGGAAAUACCGCACCAAGUAGGAUUCUUUUUCUCUUUAGUGGGUCCACUUGCAUGCCAAUUAACGAGUUGAAAAGUAUGAGCACCUACCUCGUGCUCGUGGAACCGAAGGUCAGUGAAGUGGGGCUCCUUUUGGCCUCGUGUAAACUUGAUUCAGAAGUGAAGUUAAUAGUCUUCCAUUCAGAUGGAUACAUGGGAAUUUUUCUCUUUUAUUUAUUUAUUUAUUUUUUUUUUGUGUGUGUAUGUCAAAGGAUAAUGAAUGAAGCGCGUUAGCUUGUUUUCUGACUGGAACCGCAGAUGUCCAAAUUGGAGUUCCUUCAUUUCUUACUUAGGAUUGUUACAUGUAUAAACAAGGUAUAAGAAAUAUGCCAACGUGUCUUGAGGAGUUAUUGAUUAGAAAUAACAAGUCACCCGACUGUAGAGUUCCAAGAUUUGAAUCUUCAGACCCUAUAGCAGCCUCUGGGGUACGUGGCAUCCUAUAGCAUAUUAAUGAAGGCUUUUUCGAUUUAGACUUCACAAUACCAAUUAAUAUGUAUGCACAAAAUGGAGAUGACCCCAAAAAAAACAGAAUCGCCAUAGUUUAUGAGGUUAAGGUGAUUCUCCACUUAAUAUCUACAUUAGCUAAUUAUGUAAAUCAAAUGAACUUCUAUUUUUCCUUUUUUUUUUUGGUUUAUGUCAAAUAGUAGCCCAUAAUUAACCCAACCAUUAGCCUGUUUGAAUUGAUUUCACAUGCACAAUGUUGUAGUAGUUCAUAUUUUGAAUUUUAUUUUUACAAAGGUAGUUAAGGAAAAUGAAGUAUAAUAAUUAUAAAAGCAGACUAUAUACACUACAAUAAUUGUUAGAAUGGUAUCUCAAAUUCUAAUUUAAAAUAUUAUUUUUUGUAAAAGAAAUAUUAUAUAGAAUAUUUCCUAAUUUUAUAAAUGAUUAUAAUUAGAUCUUUAUAAAAUAAGGAAAGUUGGUAAGAAUAUCUUUAUAAAUAUUUUAGGUCAUGAGAGAAAGAAAUGGGAUAAAAAUGUGAUGAAGAGGUGAAAUAAGAGAGUUGAUUAGGAUAUAGAUGUGAAGAAGAAAGGGAUUCAAUAUAUAUAUAUCUUUCAAUUACCACAUUAAAACCCUGUGAACCUUUUAUAUGGUUUACUUUAUUUUUAUAUUCCUCCUUUAAUAUAUUUACAUUAAUGCUUCCAUUGGCACAACAAUAACGAAUUACAAAUACAAGCAACAAGUCCCAUGUUUUAUUACCAAAAGCAGGUAAAAUCCACCUAAUAUAUUACAAUAUAUUCAUCCAAUAUUUUAGACCAAUUCUUCACCAUAAAUAUCAUAAUGUGGCUUUUGUUCUUUCUUAAAUUUAAAUUGAAUUGUCUUAUAUCAAUUUGUUUGUGAUUUUUUCAUUAACUUCACUUUCAUUUGGUUAUCUUUGGUUUUUGAAAAGUAUUAAGGAAUUAAUUAACAAAAUAAUGUUAAGAAAAAUAAUUUUCUCUCUUUUGAUUUUGAUUUUGUAGUAGAAAAAUAUAAUUAAAAUUAUUUAAAAAGUAUGUAAUUUUAAAUUAUUUAAUAUUUAGAUAAAAAAAAUAAGUCUAAUGAGUUUAAAAUAACAUAUAAAAAUAAUUUAUUUAUUUUAAAUUUAUUUUUUAUUUUCCAUUAUGUUCUCUUUCUCUUUUACUUUUUCAUAUUUUUUCUUACGAAGAAUCAAACACAACCUCAUAUUAUAUGUCAAGUGUUUGUCUAUAUUUGAGCAAUGUUAGAUACGGCCAUGGAUUCAUCAAACUAAACUGAUUUUAAUAGAUACUUCACAAAUUGAUUUAUACACUAAAUCAUUGGAUAGCAAUGAUGCAUUGGAAUUAAACGUAGGAUGAAGCUCGAAGAACACUGUUUGUGUAACAACAUAUUUAUGAAAUUAUGCAAAGGAUGAGCUUCGGGGUAGUAGUACAAGGUCAUUAAUGGAGAGCCGUGUUAAACCUUGAUUGUGAUUGGAUUCCGUUAUCAGCAACAGCAACCUUGUUUGUAACCUUGAAAGUCAUUCUGUCCACAUCGAAACUCCAAUUUGACGUUUGUAAUUACCAUUCCUGGAGUGUUCCUUGAUUGAAAUUUAAAUAAUAAUUGCGGCCCACAAGGAAUAUUUUCGAUUCUGUGGGAAUUUGACAAGGUUUGUUAGAGAAGACUGGUGACAUGUUGACUUCAAUGGUUCAAAUAGGAGACGUAUGUGGAUUUGGGGGGUUUAAUUGAAACUGAGUCCCUAUGGCUUUUUAAUAUUUGCAUUGAGCAGUCUCCAUGUGACUUCCUAAUUCCCACCAACCCUCCUGUCCAUGCUGUGAAACUAAAUUGUAAUUUAUCAGCCUUUGUCAAUGGUUUCUAAAUUAAAGAUAUAGACCAUGCAUGUACUUUAAUAAAAGCAAAUCUAAAGUGUAGAUAGCAGCAAUGGUGACACCCAAUAUUCUCCAUAAAAUAGAAUUAGAAUAAGCAGUGUUACAUUGUUCAUGAUCACCUACAAGCAUACAAGAACUUCCAUGAAUAACUCAUAGCAAUUGCCAACAGGGCGUCGUAGAGACUCAUACAUAGAACACUAUCCACCCAGAGGAAAGGACAAGACCAGUGCGCUGCAGCUCUUAUUUUUCACAUGUAUACCACCACUCGUAAUAACCAAAUUCACUCAGUUGGGAUAGGUGGGAGAUGGUGGUUUGUGGGGUGGCUUGUGGGGAGGAGUUGGAGGAGGCUUUAUUUUCUGAGGCGGCUUGUAUGAGUGUGCAGGAGGAUGCCCGGGAGUGUGACCAUAAUGUGGUGGCUUCUCUCCCGUAGGUGGUUUGCCAAAUGGGCUUGGUGGCUUCUCUCCCUUAGGAGGUUUACCAAUUGGGGUUGGUGGCUUGUGUUCUGGGAGUGGUUUCUCUCCCUUGGUAGGUUUGCCAAUUGGGGUUGGCGGCUUAUGUUCUGGGAGUGGCUUCUCUCCCUUGGGAGGUUUGCUAAUUGGGGUUGGCGGCUUAUGUUCUGGGGGCGGCUUCUCUCCCUUGGGAGGUUUGCCAAUUGGAGUUGGCGGCUUAUGUUCUGGGAGUGGCUUUUCUCCCUUGGGAGGCUUGCCAAUUGGGGUUGGCGGCUUAUGUUCUGGGGGUGGCUUCUCUCCUUUAGGAGGUUUGCCAAUUGGAGUCGGCGGCUUAUGUUCUGGAAGUGGCUUUUUUCCCUUGGGAGGUUUGCCAAUUGGGGUUGGCGGCUUAUGUUCUGGGGGUGGCUUCUCUCCCUUGGGAGGUUUGCCAAUUGGAGUCGGCGGCUUAUGUUCUGGGAGUGGCUUCUCUCCCUUGGGAGGUUUUGUUGGUGGCUUGUGUUCUGGAGAUGGCUUCUCCCCUGGAGGCUUGUGCUCCGGAGGUGGCUUCUGAAAUGGCGGG
RNAcentral lists this long non-coding RNA (80317 nucleotides) under Vitis vinifera (wine grape). Its description in RNAcentral is "long non-coding RNA (VVIN_LNC001392)". The record is from RNAcentral. Lineage: Eukaryota; Viridiplantae; Streptophyta; Magnoliopsida; Vitales; Vitaceae.